Molecule: long non-coding RNA, 60063 nt
Filed under: Ananas comosus (pineapple)
Lineage: Eukaryota; Viridiplantae; Streptophyta; Magnoliopsida; Poales; Bromeliaceae
Description: long non-coding RNA (ACOM_LNC024367)
Rfam family: tRNA (bases 3003-3074)
Source: RNAcentral
GGAGCAAGAAUAGUAGUGAAAUGCAGGAAUAAAGUCUACCGCUAUCAAAUACUACACUAUCAUGCUCUACACUAACCAACUGUAGGAAAUGUCCAACCUGACCCAAUCCAAUCGGGACUGUAAGCAUACCCGUCCCCGGGACUGUGAAUACACCCGUCCCUGCCCCGUUGCGACUGUCCAGCUACCUCCACUAUGACUAGUCCGUGGAGAGCAAGUCCAACUGGCAUGAGCGACACUAACGCAAAAGCACCAGCCUGACUCCGGAGUGGCACUCGUGGGCGCUACCCAACCGAGUAUGCAGCGUAUCUCUGUCGAGCUCAAUCAGGCUCCAACUAGCCAAAGUCAAGUAAUCGACUCAAAUCGGUCUAACAACCAACAGGUAACGUGCCCUCGGCACAAUCUGACGCCAAAAAGGCGAUACGGGUCCACCGUCAACUCUGACGGCACCCAACAGUCCGAAACAACCUGAACGACCCUGUAAAAAUCCACUCGGCGAACCAGCACGAGUGUAAAUACAUUCUAAACUACCUGGGGUACUCGUCUCGAAGAAACUGUGACAGUACAAUUUUCUAACGGCUCCUGGAGCUAAAUCAGGUAGUUAAAACUGGUGACAGGUCCAAAUCGCAGGUUUUCUCCUAAUUCAAAUUCCAAGUCCAACAUGUAUAAUCUACUUAAUUUAUAAAACAUGCUCCAAAAUUCAGAUUUCACAAUCUACAUAUAGUCCAUGAAUUUGAGCUAACACAAUUUACCGAAAUCAAGAUCUAUACAUGUCAACCAAUAAGAACUUAGGAGUAAAGCCGAUGUAACCCACCUAAAAUGCUAAUCCUUGGCAACGAAGGACUCCCACUGGUGUAGAGCAACUUGCUGGAUCAAACGCACAGCUCCGAGUCCAGAAAUCGUCCACGCUCGAGCUCUACACAACAAUAAAUCACUGUUUCAGUCCCGAAUUUCAGCAGUGAGGUACAACAGGGAUUCGACCAAGCUAACCUUCACCAAAUCCAGCAAGCAAGGGCUUCGUGGAUUCCUCUCGAAGUCUUGAAUCCAAAGAGCCAAGUCUCGUCGCAAUGCGAUGCUCCUACGUCGAGUACGAGCUGAAAUACUAACAGUCGACGGUGGAUUUCAGCAAACAAUAGUUAUCCGAGUUGAAGUAGUAAGAACUUGCCCAAAAAUCCAAGGGAAGGCUGAAUUACUCACCUCGACAGCGACAAGCGCCGGCACGACGUCAAGAACAGCGUAGUCGCACGCUCGCUCGAUCUCCUCGCAAAGUCCCGGCGUCAAAUACGUGCUCGAACGAUCCUGCGGCGCGACGUCGGCGACGAAACUCCAAGUAAACUCCUUCCUUGCUUCCAACCGGGUGGGAGAGUGAGAGAGAUGGAGAGUUGCAGCUAGAAGACCUCUCUCUCUCUCUCUACACGAAGCUAAAUAGAGGGGAGUGAGGGGUGAUACAAACGAGGUGAGAUUUUACCGUUUUAGCCCUUUACCUACUCCCUUGUACCGGUACACGGGCUCCUGUACCGGUACAAGAGCCAACCCGAGAGCAGCUAAAUCUGUGCGCGUAGCUUGUACCGGUACAGAAAACCCUUGUACCGGUACAGCAAGCAUUCCCCGCGCUGGUUGUACCGGUACAGCAUACACUUGUACCGGUACAGCAAGCAGGAAAAUCUGCUGUUUCGCAGAUUCCUUCGCUGAAAGCUGGCCUCGCGUCGCACGGAGUCCGUUUUGCGUCUAUUUGACGCCAACGCGACUCGGACUUGUCCCGACACUCUCCAGAGCUGUCGACAAGCCCCCACAGCCAAACACCAGGGAUCUCACAUUUGCUCACUGGAUAAGAAAGAGUAUAAAGACCAGAAACCAAAAGCAAAGUAGUUGGUAAACAUUGAAACUAAGUUCUGUCAUAGAUGUUAGAAGAAUUCCCCGCACAAUGGGUAUCAAAGAAGUCCAUAUUCGCCAAUCAAAGUGCUUUCUCUUUGAUAGCUUUCAGUUCUAGCAAAAAGGCCCAAGCAAAAGUUAAAUUAUUGGUAGUUAGAUGAAACUCUUUGGCUUAGAUUAUGAUCAUGAUGAGUUUACCAUAGAGCGAGGAUCUAUAACAACUCAUGCAGGAUUGUUCGUCGAAGACGGGAGAAGGUAAUCUGUCAAGAAGUUUGCCCUCCGAGAUAGGAGAGGUUGUAGAUGAUGUAUUUAUGGAACCUAAAAUUUAAGCAGCAGAGAGUAAGCUACGCAAUCGAAAGUAUGUUUUGCCGAAGAUAAAUGGAAAAUGAAGUGAGAAAAGUAAGUGAUAUAUAGCUAAAAAAUCACAUAUAAGUUAUGCUAGAUCUAAUAAUUAACCAGUAUGAUUCACUUUCUUAGAAUAAGCAUGGUUUUCUUAUUGAAUAAAGAGUGGCAUAAACUUUGAUCAUAAACAUAUUUUGCUACAGCGUUUGUUUGUAUCCAAAGCAAUAACUUGUAACAGAGUUUAGGCCUAUCGUUCGACAAACGGUGCAACUAAGGCCUAUCGGCUUUUUUUAUUCCUUUUCUUUUUUUUAUUUUUAUUUUUGGUGUGAGAUUGGAAUGUCUAAUAAUUGAGCAGGCACUAUAGUUAAUAGCCUCGUCUAAUCAACGCACAGGAUUAACUGUGCAGUGGGGCCCACAGGUAGCCGACGCUCGGCUCCAAUCACACACUAGUGGGACCCACCCACCACCACUACGGCCUAUACAUACACCUCAUACACCCAACUUAAUUUCUAAUAAUUAAUACAUAUUAUUAACAUACCAACACUAUGGCGCAGAGGGAUUCGAUUCCUUGACAUGCAUUUUUCCCAAAUAAGAAGGUAUGAAAAACACAUUAAUUAGACUUAAUUAUCUAACAAUUAAAAAAAAAGGAGCAUUGUAUGAUGUGUAUGAAUUAUGUCUUCAACAUUAAAAAUUAAGGUAGCGAACAUGGUAAUACUUUAACAAAUGUGGUGUGGAUCAGUUCUUAAAUGAUAGCGUUCAAUAAUAUUGAAGGCAAUAAUCUAACAUCCCCUGGUCCCAUGGUCUAGUGGUCAGGACAUUGGACUCUGAAUCCAGUAACCCGAGUUCAAAUCUCGGUAGGACCUUAUAUUAUUAUUAUUAUUAUUAUUAUUUUGUUAUUUAAGUUCGAUUUGCAUUGGAUAAUUGGAUAUCACCUUAAUUAUCUUUUUAGUUAUUCAAACUACAUCUUUAGUUGGUUCCAAAUCAAACUGAAUCAUUGAUAUCACCUUGUUUAUUUGUAGUUAUUCAAACUGUAUCUUUGUUUUCGUUCCAAAUUAAGCUGACCCAUUAACACCCACAGGGAAAUGGAUUGCAUAUCACCUCAUUCAUUUUUUAAGUUAUUCAAACUAUAUCUUUACUUUGGUUCCAAUUCGAACUGAAUCAUUAGGCAUUGCUGAGGUCAGAAGAUAUAGGCAUUCGAACUCGCAAUGUACAGACAUUAUCAAACUCUUUCAAAAGCUCUUCAACCUGCAUCAUCCAACAAAAGAACCAUAAGAAACAGUUUACUAAACAUGCAACUUAUCAAAGACGUAAUAGACCUACAAUUCAUGUAAUAAGGUGUUUACCAUAGCCUUGGUCUUCGAAUAGAAUGAUCCGGUAAAGUUUGGCUUGUCUUCCUCCUUGAAGCCAAUUCCUGACCCUUGAGGAUGAGCAUCAUCAUAUUCAAAUAUACAUCCAGUUGCAUAAUUCAUCAUUAACAGCCCCUGUUCCCUGCAGACAUCAGCAAGAGUCAAAGUGCCCACAACAUUGGUUCGAAUCGUCUCAGGCUUGUGUGACUCGCACCAAUCAACAUUAGGUCUACCGGUCACACCAGCUGCAUUAAAUACAUGUGUUGGUUUAACAUUCUGCUUAAAGUACUUAAAAAUUUCUCUUUUUCACGGUUGGCUUUGAAUGAUAGCAAAGGGAUCGGUUAAUUGUUAUAUAGAUCAAUGUCUUGGCAUUUGGCUAUCCAUGAAUGUUCAUCGUACUAUGUUUGAUAAAUUUUGUUUUUCUUAUCUCAUUUGAUUAAUUAGUUCUUUUGCUUUGAUCGUUUAAUUAACCUCUACCGAGUCUCGAGUCUAAGUAGUGUGAAAAGAUGCAUUAAUUAGAUCAAGCAAAUUGAUCUUCUUAUUUACAUGGAUCAGGAAGUAAAAGUGUGGAAGAAAAAACUUGUGGGAUAGCUGUGGUUGAGGUCAUCUUCUACUUCUUCUUCUGUUUGCAGAUUAGGUAAGUUAUACUAUAUCCCUUUUUUAUUCUCAGCUUUUGUUAAAAUUGCAUCACUGUCUAAACAUAUAUAUGUUUUUAAAUGUGUUUUUAAAUGUGUUUAAAUGUGUUUUCUUUUUUCAACUUAGGUUUACACCCAUUUUUUAUCUUAUCUUCUCACAAUCUUAUCAUCUAUAUUAUGGAUAAGAGCUGGAUACGCGAAUCAAGGUUUGCUCUAACACAAAUAAAGUUAUUCUUUUUCCAAAAUACAUUAAUUUGUAUAUUAAUCCAUAUUCACUUUCGAAAAUGUAGGGUUAGUGAAAAAUAUCUUCAAGGAGUUUCAAACUUUCUCGAUUUUGCAUUUUUGAAUGCAAUGCAAGAAGGGUUAAUCCUUUGCCCUUGUAAUAAAUGUACAAAUCGCUAUUGGCAAGAUAGAGAAACCGUUCUAGAUCAUUUGAUUUGUGAUGGCUUUUCAAAUGAUUAUACAAAUUGGAUCUAUCAUGGAGAAAAUGUUAAUUUGUUCUCCUCUAUGCACGAUUUUGAUAACACUGAUGUGCAUGAUGAUAUGCAUGGCAUGCUUAAUGAAGCUUUUGGUAUUUUUCAUGAACCUGAUGAAAACAUUGCGCAACGAGAACAUAUGUCUAAUGAAGAACCUAAUGAGGAGGCCAAAAAAUUUUACAAAUUAGUUGACGAUUCAGAGCAGGAGUUAUACCCUGGUUGUAAAAAGUUCUCAAAACUCUCAUUUAUUGUUAGAUUAUUUCAUUUGAAGUGUCUUAAUGGGUGGACAAAUAGUUCAUUCACGGCGCUACUUACUCUAAUUAAAGAGGCACUUCCUGCUGGUGAAACUCUCCCAAAUUCAUUUUAUGAAGCAAAAAAGAUCAUCGAUGACUUAGGUCUACGGUACAAGAAAAUCGAUGCUUGCCCAAAUGACUGUCAGUUGUACUAUAAGGGGACUUCUACUGCAAGUUCAUGCAAUACUUGUGGUGCUUCUAGGUGGAAAACUACUGAUAAUAAUGUAAAGUGUGACACAUCGACCUCUAAGAAAGUUGGCAAAAAAAUUUCAGCCAAGGUUGUGUGGCACUUUCCUUUAAAACCAAGACUACAGAGAUUGUUUAUGUCAUCAAAAACUGCUUCACUUAUGAGAUGGCAUCAUGAUGGUCGAACAAAGGAUGGAAUAAUGCGACAUCCCGCUGACUCCCCAGCAUGGAAAACAUUUGACUUUGAGCACCCAGAAUUUUCUUCAGAACUUCGUAAUGUGAGACUCGGCCUAGCAAGUGAUGGUUUCAACCCGUUUCGAACAAUGAGUACAGCACAUAGCACAUGGCCAGUUAUUUUGAUACCAUAUAAUUUACCACCAUGGCUGUGUAUGAAACAACCGUUUAUUUUUUUGUCCUUACUUAUUCCAGGACCAACAGCGCCAGGUAAUAAUAUUGAUGUGUAUUUAGAACCAUUAAUUGAUGAGUUGAAGGAUCUUUGGCUUGAUGGAUUGAAUACUUAUGAUGCAUCAAUGAAGCAAAACUUUCAAAUGCGUGCUGCAUUAUUGUGGACUAUUAGCGAUUUUCCAGGGUAUGCUAAUUUGUCAGGAUGGAGCACUAAAGGGCGUUUGGCAUGUCCUUCUUGCAAUGUUGAUACUGAAUCUCGCUACUUAAAGCAUGGUCGAAAAUUUUGCUAUAUGGGCCAUCGUCGAUAUUUAGAAACAAACCACAAAUUUCGACGGGAUAAGAUUUCUUUUGAUGGGAGCCAAGAACUUAGAGAUGCACCUGUUCCAUUAUCUGGCUCGAUGGUCUUGCAGCAAUUACAGAAUGUUGAAAACAAAUUUGGCAAGUUAGAAAAGAGAAAGCGAGGAAAGGAUGUUAAUUUACCACACAAUUGGAAGAAAAGAAGUAUAUUCUUCUCUUUGCCUUAUUGGGAGAGCAUUCUUAUACGUCAUAAUUUAGAUGCCAUGCAUAUUGAGAAAAAUGUUUUCGAUAAUUUACUUUGGACAUUAUUAAAUGAAGAUGGUAAAACAAAGGACAAUAUAAAAGCUCGUCGUGACUUGGAAGUUAUGGGUAUUAGAGACUCACUCCAUUUAAAACAAAAUGGAAGCAAAACCAUAGUUCCUCCUGCAUGCUUCGUGCUUUCUAAGCAAGAAAAGAAUAUUUUCUUCAAACUACUAAAAUCAGUUAAAUAUCCAGAUGGAUAUGCAGCAAACAUUUCAAGUUGUGUGCAUGUAAAAGAUCGAAAAAUUAUCGGACUAAAAAGUCAUGACAGUCACAUUUUUUUACAACAAUUGCUUCCUAUAGCAUUAAGGAGUGUUCUGACAAAGAAUGUAAGCUCGCCGCUUAUGGAAGUAAGUAGGUUNAACUUUGUAUUUGUGGCGGGUCUGUACGUCACGUGGGCCAGGUUGAAAAAAAAAAAAAAAAUGGCACGUUUUCCGCAACUCUGUUUUUAAAAGGCUUUUAAAAUCGGCCCCGGGGCGUGACAAUACCACUUGAAGUGUUUGGAAAUCAAAUUUCAAAAAUUUUCAACAUCACUUGCCUAAUGAUCAAAUGGUUUCAAAACUUGUAAUUUUAAUGGUCGAUAUGAGGCGUUUUCUCGUUUAACGGCGUAAAGAUAUCCAAAUCAAUUAAAUUUUUGUUAGAAAAUUUUUUAAAUUAUUUAAAACAAGAUCUAUACUCUUGAUCUUGAUUACAAGACUUCUAUCAUCAUUUUUUAAAGAAUAUUCAUUUUCAGCCGUUCAUUUUUGUGUCCACUUGAUGGAUAAGAGAACAAUAUCGAAAAUGUAUGAAAUUUGAUUAAUUCUAAACACUUCGAGUGGUAUAGAUCAUGUUUAACGGUGUCGAUCGUCGAUUUGGAGGCUCCAUCAUUGAAAAUAAAUGGGUGGCAACGGAGCCCGUUUGCUACCGAUAGCAUUCCAGCUCAACUCUAAUUUUCUAACUUAUAAUUGUAGGAAACAUAUCGACAUAAUAAAAGGGAUGAAGCGCCGAAUGCGGCCAAGGGAAAUAGAGCGAAUUCAUAGUGAGACAUUUCAUGACUGGUUUAAAGAUCAUAUAAAAGAUCGUCCUUUUAGUUUAAAUUUUUAUGCAUAGUAAAGUAUACAUUUUUGUACAUAACAUUAUUGUACUAAUUAAUGUUUUCUUAAUUUGAUGAGUAGGUUAGUAAAGCAGUUGAUGAAAAGAAUGAAAUUUUGCCGGAGGAUAUUAUCUCGCUAGCUCGUGGCCCUUAUAAAGCUGCACGAAGAUACCAAGGUUAUAUUGUCAAUGGAUUUAGAUUCCACAUCAGAGACCGUGAAAUUAAUAGAAGAACUCAAAAUAGUGGAGUUGUUGUCACUGCUCGUACAUCUAGUUAUGCUAGCGCCAAAGACAAAAAUCCUAUUGCUGGAGAUAUAAUAUACUAUGGAAUUCUCACGGACAUAAUUGAAUUAAAUUAUUAUGAGCAUUUUAAAGUGGUGUUAUUUAAAUGUGACUGGGCGGAUGUGCAUUCUCAAGGUAGAGGAGUAAAAACAGAUGAUUUUGGGUUCACGUUGGUAAAUUUCAACCGACUAUUAUUUAAAGGCCACGAACUCUCUGAUGAACCUUUUACCUUAGCCUCGCAAGCGAAGCAAGUCUUCUAUGUACAAGAUCCUAUUGACAAAGAUUGGCAGAUUGUCAUUCAUACAAAACCAAGAGAUUUAUUUGAGAAUAUGAUGAAAUUCAAUAGAUUAUAGAACUGCCUUCAACAGUACAUUGAAAAUAUAGGAAAAUGUCAUUAUUAACGAAGUAAGUAGUCUUUGCAGAUGAAGACUUGAUAUGCCCGAAAUUCAAUUGACACGUCUUAAUCAACCCCAAGAUGAAAUGGAUUGGAUGAUCAGAAUGGAAGAAAUAAAUGGUCUAAUUGAAUGUGAUCUGGAAUUUCACUAGUAUAGAAUCCUUUGAAAAUAUCGUUACUUUUUAUAAAAAAAAAAUAUAAAAAGUCUUAACCGUUGAUUAAUAGACUAAAAUUAACUUAAUACUUAGUCAAGUAAAAGAAUUAUUUUAUUCAAGGUUAAUGGUAAUUAAAUAAUAACAUCAUUUAAAGAAAUUUAAUUGAGGUCCUAAAUUUAUGCAUUAAUAGUCACACUAAUUUAGGAAAUAAUGUGAUUAACAAAUCUUAAUAAACUAUAUUAGCAUUAAUUAGGAACACCUUAAAUGGUUUAGUCUUCUACAAUAGCAUAAUAAAUUAUUAGAAAUUUAGAUAUAGUUUAUUUCAAUACAUGAAUUUUAAAUUUUAAAAAAUAAAUACUUUAAAAUUAAAUGAAAAAUUUAAUUACAGAAAUUUCAAUGUACAUAUAAAAACUAAAUUUCUCCCAAGAUUUAAAAGACAUUUAUCGCAAUCACGUUAACAACUAAUGCAUAAAAAAACACUAGAAGAUAAAGAAUUUCUACACUAGAAUUUCUCAGAACGAAUUAUAUUAACUAUUAAUUUAAUUCAAUAAUAAAAACAUAUGAAGCCCGAUUGUAUUACUGACUCAGACUUUGACCAUUCUAUCAAGAAUCUGAUUUUGACCUUGAACCGAAUAACAUAAGAACACUUGAACCAGUAACAGAAAUAAAUAUCUAAACAGUAAUAAAUAAUUUAACUUUAAGUAAUAAAUAUUUAAAUAAAGUUAAACAUAUAAAUUAAAAAAAGAUAUAUGAGAAAAAAAUAGUAGGAAUUUGAAUUCGAAUCUGACUAACAAUCACAAAACUUAUUCCGAACUUGGCACGAGAUUUCAAAAUCCAUAUCCAAAUUCGAAAACUAACCAAUUUUUCGGAAACCCAAAACAAACAUAAACCAGAUAGACUAGAAUUCAAACAAUUAUUUCUGUUUACCAUAUUUCAAAGUAUUUAUAUGAAACUUAAAUUUUUAAAAUAUAAAUUUGAAUAUAAUAUUAAAUUUUAAAUUUAAAAGUGAAAUUUAAAUUAGAGAAAUUUUAUAUUACUAUUUAAAGUUUAAAUUCAAUGAUCAUAUUGUCAAAUCAUUUGAAAUUUUCCUUAUAUGAAAUGCCAAAUUAUGAAAGGAAAGAUAGAGAGAGCAAACGGAAACAAAGAAAAAAUAAAAAUUUUGAAAAUAUAAUAAAUGUAAAAUGACUAAAUUGCCCAUGUAUUAAAAGACAAAAAUAUUCUUUUUUGAGGUACCUGGUAACCGAUACCUCUCCCAAAGUGACCUGCUAUUGCAGGUCACAAUUUUAAAAAAACUAAAUCUGAGUCGUUGAAUACGCGUGAAUGAACGGUAACCAAAAAAAAAAAAAUAUAGAAGCAUUACUCUAUUUUUUUUUGACAAUUUAAUAUAUUAUUUUAUUAAUCUAUUUGAAGCUGCAAUGGUUAUGUUAGGAUAACUAUUUGUGAAGUUUGUUUACGCAAUAUUUUUUUUCUUAUUAAAAUUUGUCUUCUAAAUUGUUCUUAUGAUUUAUCGUAUUUGCAUUCUAAUGUAGCUUAUUUUUUUCUAUAUGUAGAUGGACUCUAAGGGUAAAGAGAGAAGUUCAAAAAGGCCAUAUUUUGAUCAAAGGGACUAUGGUGAGAUGCUUUUUGGCUCGGACCAUUUUCUACAUAAACUUUUGCGAAACGAACAUCAUUCUACUAAACCUCUAGAAGAUCAGCCCCCCUUGUCACUUGAGCACGCACUUCAUCAUUAUAUGAAUCAUCUAGUUUCUAGCUUGCACCAAGAGCAACGCCCAUCACUUACUUCUGAAAUUCCAGAUAACAAUAUUCCGGUCCAAAUAGGGUCAACACAGAACCAGCAUGAUCUAGCUAAACAAUUAUCACGACAACAUCAUGAUGCUCAGUCUAUUCCUAUCCUCGAGUAGCCGCAUAGUGAUCCAGCUAUAGACAAACAACCUAUUUUCGGAACUGUCUGGAGUCAGCAAAGUGAAGAUCCUCUACAAAAUUCAAACAUGCCUGAAGAUUGUGAAGAUGACUGUCACGCCCCGGGGCCGAUUUUAAAAGCCUUUUUAAAAUAGAGUUGCGGAAAACGUGCCAUUUUUUUUUUUUUUUUUCAACCUGGCCCACGCGACGUACAGACCCGCCACAAAUACAAAGUUCCUCUGUCCACUCGGACAGAGUCUCCUUUGUAUUGCGGACAACCAGUCAACGUAAAAGCGAUAACCACAAUCUACAUUUACAAUCAACAACAAGUCAUGUAUAUGGCUUUCCUAAGCUUCCACUCUUGAAUGAUGCAUGGCCUCUAGCUUUAGGCGCUGGAUGAUAAUGAAUCAAAAUCCUAUUUAAAGGUGCUCCACGACGGCUUUUUGUUUUUAACUUAAUUCUUUAUCAUAAAACCAUUCGAACCUUUUAACUGUUGGCCAAACGGAAUCUAUUUGAAGACUUUGCCUCCGAGGGGUAGAAACACAGAUAUGUAAUACCAGAAAAUCGUAUAUAAAUCAUAUCCAUCCACAAACCUUGUUUACAUGCAUAAUACGAGUCCCCAGAAUCUACCAAACCAUCAACUUUCACAUAAGAUCGUUAACUGACCAUUACUAUCUAAGCUAUAUCAACAGACUGUAAGGGUGAAUAAAGCGAUACCUGAGUUCGGAAGAUCUAGCGCCUACGAAGUGUCUCAGUUAGUCUCAUUCACUAGCGGCGUCUGAAAAUAGGUGGGGGGUGCGACAAUGUAAAUGUCUCUCCAGUGCUACGAAGCGGAUGAAGCGCGAGGGUAUCCGGUCGGGAGAGUAACAGUAGGAUCGCGUAAUACUAAUAGUAAGGNNNNNNNNNNNNNNNNNNNNNNNNNNNNNNNNNNNNNNNNNNNNNNNNNNNNNNNNNNNNNNNNNNNNNNNNNNNNNNNNNNNNNNNNNNNNNNNNNNNNAAAAUUAUUUUCAACUGUGAGAUUGUCUAAUUUAGGGGGAGUUUGAAAUUGUUUAAAAAUAAAAAAAGGAGAAAAAGAUACUCCAAUGUUCAAAAAGAUGUGGAAAGAGUUACAUCCAAAAGGAGUGUGAAAACUACUACCACAUGUAGGAAAGAGCUACCAUCCCGGUCGUCCGGCAAGCGUGUGAAGCUACCACAUGGAAUUUAAUUGAAAAAGCCGAAAAGGUUGAAAAAAUAUAAAUAUUUUAAAAUUUUCGGAGUAAUAAGGUGCUAGUUUGAAAAAGAUGCUCAAAGAGCUACCCCCGGUGCCAUAUUAGUUAAAUCUCUAUUUUGAAUGUGUUGCGACAAAUUAGUGUCAAUUUUGUUGAAUUUCUCAAAAUCAUUUUUCAUCAACUUACAUCUUGAAGGUUUUGAAUCAUUAAAUCACUUUUGAUAAUGAAAUUUUGAUGUUUUGAUGGAUUUUAAAAUUUUAUAAUAUUUUAUUUUCAUUAUAAUGAUUUUUGGAGUAAAAGCCUUAAUUAUAUGAAUUUAAUUUAAAUUUGAUGAGUUUUUAAAGGAUAAUUUUUGAAAAAAAAAUUUUACAUUUUGGUCCUUGUACCGGUACAAGAAAUCGUGUUCCGGUACAAGGUCUGUACCCGAGCAGAAUAUAACCGGGUAUAACGCUUCGAUCUCUCUCAAAUCUCAACCUUUUUCGAAAAUUUUUGUUCAUGAGAGCUCCAGCGACUCUUCUUCAACCGUUCUACACGUUCUCCCCUUGGAUUUGUAAGUUUUUAGCAUCAAAUUUGUGAGUUUUAUCCCGGUUUUGAUAUUUUCACUGUUUUUGCGGGAUAAGGGUUUGAUCUCUGUGCUAAUUCGUUUGUGAUGCAAUUUUUUGCUAUAGAUCAGUGUCUUAGGCUAUUACCUUGCUUGUAGAACACUUGAACAACAUUAAAACAAGUUAUUUUUCACUGAUCUAAGAUUAUGCUCUAAUAUGCAUGUAAUUUCGGGAUUUUUCAAAAAGUUCGAUUUUUGCUGAAAUUUUAUGCAUGAUCUGGUUAGAAAUAUCAUUUGUAUGCAUUCUAAUGUUAUUAGAAAUUUUUUCGCUAUUUUUACAGAUUUUUUCAAAAAAUUUUGUUCAUGUAUGCAAUUUUUUGAUAUAGGAAAAUGACGUUUUUGCUCGUAUUGGCAUUGUUGAUGCUAAUGGCUGGGAGACGGAGCCGUAGUGGUGGUAGAGGUCGUCAUGGGGUUUCUAAAAGGACACGCACAACUGAAGAAGCGUCCGGGUCUAAUCCGGAUUAUCAGGCGAGCUCCCCGGAAGAACCUGAAGAACCUAUUGCUCGACUUGACAAGGGCAAAGGAAUAGCUGGCGAAUCAUCUCAUGGUGGUGGUUCUCGUACUCGUGAGGGACGUACAAAACAAGCUACGGAUGUCCCUCCAGCACGGCAAAGGUUGUUUGUGUCGAAGUCGUGCAUAGCUGAACGCUUUGUGAACUUUAAUGACCUGGUUCGGGAUGUUCCUGAUUUUGGUCGACUGCUAUAGCAUGCACCUAUUGAGCCAGUUGGACGGGUCCCGGCCAAGGCUCCUUUCUGUGUGGAACUCAUUCGGGAGUUCUAUAUGAAUGGAAAAGUACUUGCUGAAGACGAUGACAAAGGCACUUUUAUUUUUGAGACUAUUGUGCGACAGAGGAGAUUCCCAGUUACCCCCUACGAUAUUGGAGAGCUCUUGGGAAUGAAUGUGGACACUACCGGUCUUCUCUAUACGUCAGGAGGAUUCCAAUCGUCAACUCACAUGGAUAUCGUUAUUGGAGCUAUAUGUAAGGCUGGUGUUCACAUGACUCAUGGUUACAUAGAAUCCAAGGAUUUAUUACCAGAGUACCACUUGUUAUCUUUGGUCAUGAGCUACAAUGUUCAACCAACCAUUGGCACAAAGAGGAUUCGUUGGGAGAGAUUAAUGUUGCUAUAUCUACUUGGUCAUCCCGCGCAGGCUCAUGGAUUGAAUAUCAACAUUCCAUUUCUGAUCUGGCAAAGAAUGAUUUGCAAAAAUUAAAGAAGAAGGUGAACAACAUUGGAAGGAAAGUUGAGUCCAGCAUCAAAAUGUUUGAGUUAAGUAUCAAAAGAUUGAUGGAUAAGAUGGGGUGUCGACAUGAUGAUAUUUGGGAACCUACUCCAUCUUCUGCCUCGUAUCAGCGGUCAUCUUCACGACAUCCUCUCAUUCCACCGUCUGGUGAUGCUCCUAAGGCUGGGGGUUCUGGAGCUGGUGUUGGCGAUGAUGAUGAUGAUGACGAGGACACGGAGUGAUUUCUUCGUCGAGCUUAGUCUUUCUCUUUCACUACAUUUGUAUUUUAGGAUGAUGUUUUAUUUUAGUUCUGUUUUUUUUUUUUCUUUUAAGCCUGUAACUAUGACUUGACUACGCUUAUACUUUUCUAGUAUGUUUUCUCUCUCUAUUUGCUUUCUUUUGGCAAUUUUUGACAAAAAGGGGGAGAGCGUAGAUGAAGGAAGAGAGCAGAGGGAGAGCAUGGACGAACAGGCAUUGAACUAAAGUAGAGGAUGAUGAGUUCAAAAACAAAGGUGGAGAUAUGAACAAAGGGGGAGAAGGUAUAAGAAUUUAGUGCUAAUCAUCUUUGAAUGAAUUGUUUUGCAGGAAAUCAAGACUUCAAGACUCCUAGUUGCGUCUAAGUCAUAGAGUCUGUUUUAGGAGUUUUUGAUGUAAUUUUGAUUCUCAAUUUGUAUUUGGACUACAUGCGAGGGGUUCGAUGUUUUGGUGAUGACAUUGAACUUCAUUUUUUUUAGAUUGUAAUUUGUGAGUUUGUGUGUGUUUUGUCACGAAAUUGCCAAAGGGGGAGAUUGUUAGGUCCUAUGUGUUGGCAAGUUUCGUGGGUCGAGUCGGAGUCUUGAAGAAGUCCGCGGAAGCGGAGUAUUGAAAGAAUCGGAAGGACUGCAAAACACGCACCAGAAUAGUGAAUCACGAGGCUUAGGUUAAGCUUUUAAAAUCUUGUUAUGGGGGAUUCACGUACUUAAUUAUAGGUUUUAGAAUCAUUGUUUUCAAUGUAAUUGAUUAGAGAAGUUUUAAAGCUUGUAAACCUCCGGAAACACUAACCAGUACACUGCUUUAGGCAAAAUUGCAUUGUUGUAUCCGGUACAAGGGUUUUCUGUCCAAUGUACACUCACACGUUUGCGAGAAAAGUUUGAUGGUUUGUUCAGGUACAUUACAUCACGGCUGUCCAAGGGUACAAGCCCUGUUCCCGGAACAAGCGCAGGCCUGUUCAGGGUACACGAAGCUUCCGCAGAAAAAUCUCGCGUCCCCUGCUGUAACCUGCCUGGAAAACCAAGCUUUUUUCUGCUUCCGGUACAAGGUGCUGAUUUUGGACAAGAAACUUCUAAAUCCUACUCCGUUUUGAUUCUAAAAGACUAUAAUAAGCUAGAGGGGUUUCUCCUAACUGAUAGGAUCAUAAGAAUAUAUGGUUGAGCAAAGCCCCUACGAAGGCUCGGAUUUCAUUCUACAACGCUAUUUCUACAAAUUAGCUCCUUAGAUCUAAAUCGAGAUAACGUUUCGCAUUGCUAUAGUCGAUUGAUCUAGUCUUCGCUGUGAGUUCUAUUCGCUGGUUUUCAUACAUAACUCCUAAGCGAUAGGAUCACCAUACAUCAUGAUGCUCUCAUUGAACAGCGUCGUGGAUGUCGGCGUGAGCAAAGGCGUUCGUGGAUUCGGAAUCGCUGGCCUCUGAUGGAUUCGAGUGCGUCGUGGAUUCGGGCGUGAUUGAGCUUCGUGGAUUCGAAGUGGAGCGUUCGUGAUUCGAACGUGAGGGCGUGUACAACGCCAGGAGGGUAGCAAGAUUCAUAGAGGUUUAAGAGAGGUUGACGCCGCGGAGACCGGUAAUCACCUGUAAUCUUUUCUCUGAGUGAUAUUUUUUCCGCAGUGUUGGUCCGUGGUUUUUCUCCAAGUUGGAGUUUUCCCACGUAAUUCGUGUGCUUUGUUAUUUUCCGCAGUUUAUUUUUAUUGGAUCGAGAUUUGUGGUUUUUGCCGUUUCACGACACUAUUUCACGCCCCUCUGGUUGAUAGAUACAAUCUAGAUAGUAUCCUGGGCUCCUGCAAAAUCUUUCAUCCUCUGCUGCCCUCCGGACUGGCAUUUUGUGUUUUUGUAACAUCGGCCCUUGCCAUUUGCCGAUGGUUGGACAUUUGAGCUUGCGGCCACUGAUCUACAGGCACAUUGCCGGUUGACUUUACCGUCUCAAAUUAAUUCUUCCAAAAUUUCUCUUCCUUUCCCAUAGGUCUCGGCUAGGACUGUAUGCGAGUUCAUUGACUAAUCUCCGACCAGACUCUAUGACUCCUUCGGAUCAUCUCCUUCGAACUCCGGUCAGUCUCUAACCUGGCUUCGAUGCCUCUAGUGUGGUCGUGUACCCCUCAAGAAAUCUCUGUUUCCAAAGCUGAAUGUUUCUACUGGAUGUCUCCAUCGACUGUGAUGCUCUUCCUCUCUGCUAUUGUAAUAAUCAAUGCAGAACUUUCUUACAUCAAUAGGUCUUUUCUGUGUUUGAACCGAAUCGGACUUCCGUUCAGACUCAUUAGGAGGCUUCGUCCGAGCAUCCUGCUGAUUUGUCAUGCUGUCUUAGGAAUCUCUUCCCAUUCCUCAAGAGCCGCCAUCAUUGUCUCAUCCAUUUGUUGGCUUCUUUCGUUGUCCGUUGAUCGAUCGACUUCCAAUCCUUUCUUUGUCAUUUCGGCUUGCACUUCCAUGCAAAGCGAAGUAAGCGUCUCCUCUUGAUCAUAAGUAAUGUUUCAAGCGGUCUUCUUAAUCCGCACCGGCUUUUCCUUUGACAUUCCACUCAUUUUAACCUGCGAAGGAAAUGGAUUCUUGUCAAUUUAUCUAUGUUUUUAUUUUCUUGUCGCAAAUAAGACCGACCUCUCAUUUUUCUGUCUUUUUGAAUCCUGCCUCCUUAAAGGCAGUACAUCUCAUUUAGUCUUAUGGCUCAUAAAUGGUGCCAUUUCAAUACUUCUUCUUUUUCAAUUCUUCUAUCAUGGGAGGGGUAUAAGUUUGACCCUCCUGUAUGAAUUUCGUCUAUCUUUUAACAACCGUUUAAAAAUUAAAAUCCAUUUCAAUGCAUCAAAAGAAUAUGUAGUAAACAAACUGCAAACUCGUCGCUUUCAGCUUACUGGAUUUAGAAGGCUUCAAUAAUGCAGCACUUAUAUGGUUGACGGUUUUUAAACGCAUCUCACAGCAUAUUAUCUCGCUUCAUCAGCACAAGAUCUUUAGGCCUCUUUAGAUGAAUUCGGGCUCAUGAGCCGAAGACUCUUUCAAAAAGAAUAUGUUUUUCUCUUUUCCUUGCUCGCAGAUCUUUGUUUCGGCUCGCACACUGGGCCGAAUCCUCAUUAUUCCUUUUCGGAAUUGCUCAUAAUUGACGGCAACCGAAUUCAAAUCAAAUAAAUUUGAAUAUUGAUCUCAAAUGAUCUUUAAUUUUGAAGUGUACAGCCAUUGACAUGCCAUUUUGGCAACCUCUGACGUCGCGGCAUUCUCACAAAACAACCGCUCCUAGUCCCGUCUUUAAAUCGGUUCAAAUAUUUUUCAAUCGAUUCGCCCUGUUCUCUUUAUGAACUGAGCCAAAAUCGCAACCGAUAAUUCCGUCUAUGUUCUAUUAAAAUUGUUCAUGAACUUUCCUUCUAAUUUGUCCUGCAAUCUCGGACAAUGAGGAAAUUAGUCCGGUAGAACUUGUAACCAAGUGAAAGUUGUCUUGGUUAAUGAAGUGUUAAAAUAAUCUUAAUUUUUAAAAAUGGUAUCUGCCGCAGCCUCUUCGCAAUUGUGCUGUAAAACCGUGCCAACAUGCUUGACCGUAUUUUCGUCUAAUCUUGCGGAAAACCUAUCAAACUUCGACAUUUUGCAGUUUGCCGGGUAAGGAUGUUCUACAUCAAUGUUUUUGCCGGAUAAGGUAGCUCUGAACACCAAGCGCAUUGCCGGCCUUGCGCCUACCCCGAAGGUAUUUCGGAUGGGCUUCUCAGCAGUGCAUAUAUUUCAUUGUUGUUCCCAUAGUAUGUGGAAAUUGCGCUUGCGUGCUAUUUCGAUCCUGUGGCGGUAGACCGAAAUUUUGUACUACAUGGGUUACAUCCUUGUAUAUUCGGAGCUGCCCUAGCAACCCUAUAAUUUGGGGCUGUACUGCUACUGGUGGAGGAGUGAACCCCCAUGCUAUCUAUGGCUGAUUGACACGGCAAUUAACUAACAGCCGGGUCUACGUAAGCCGCUGUGUAAAUGGGCCCCCUGGUAUGAGGUGACCAUUUACUCCAGUGUUACAAGGAUUUAUAACACUGAGUUGUCAUCAACAGGCCCUUAUAACGCAUUGCCGGUUGCUCAUUCGAGUCGAACAAUUGCUAUUCGGGCAUAUUCUCAUCUCGAGACCGUAAUUGCGACAAUACUACUGGGCAUCAACCCGUACAGUGCCCUUCCUAAUAAACUAUUCUGGCCAAAACUUGUUAGGACCGCGAGUCAUUUGUCCAAGCGCCUGAGCCAAACUAAGGCUCAUUGUUUGUCGAUUUACGCUAGUACUCACCUCUGCCGUGCAGGUAAGACUCUUGGCAACUCCACAGCAUUAUCCGAAUUACUGGUUGUUGGUACGCUCAGAACUUCUAGGGAUGUAACUCUAUUGCGCAAAUUCAUGGCAAAUUAUCAAAUCAGGGCCAUUAUAUCAAAAAUAAUAAAAAUUACGCUUAAAUGUGUCCCACCGGGAGUGCUAAAUUAUUGCGUGUCUGUCAUGCCCUGGGACUGACGGAGGCCGCUCCCGGGUAGCGUGCCCAGACCCGCCAUUGUCUACACAUAUAAGCAAUCUACAAACAAUAGCGGAAAUAAAAGCAAGGGAUAUGAAACGUAAAGAGGAACAAUAACUAUGAUAUCAGAGCAAGUAAACUACUAAUACUAGUAACAGCAGGGAAGAAAAGAACUACUCACAAAGUAACAUAAAGUAAUACAAUAUCCAUCUCCAGAAGUACAGCAAAAGGAGUGGUCCUCUAUAAAUGGUACAACUCUCAACGUUCCCAAAAGAAACAACGAGAGGUAGACCACAUAUCAACGCGUCCUCUGAUAGCAAGCUAGCUUGAAGGGGAUACUCUUUCCGCAGUCCGUAGCCUCUCCAGCUGUGGAAAGGCAUUUGAAAUAACAUCAAGAAAAAGAGGGCGUGAGAACUAUAAUUUAUACGUUCCGCAGUGGCAAUGUACUGACCUCAGCUCAAUACACCACAGCCCCAAAAGAAAAGAGUAUCAAAAGCAACAAUAAUAAUAAAUGAUUGCAUUUAUGAAAGCAUAAUAGAAUCUAAACUACCAUGUCGCAAGGUAAACAUGAUUCAAUGUGUUUGUACAGUCUACUCUAUUCAUGAUAAAGUAUGUCAAUGCAUGACUAUAUGUCCAUCAUGGCCAGCAAUAGCAUUAUGAUCCAUUCUAUCAAUAUACUGAUAAAAUAUACUCUAUCGUGCCAACCAAGUAUACUAUGAAGCAACAAAGUAAAACUAAUCAAGUAUACUACAUGUCCAACGCUAGCGCCAAAAGCAUGUCAAAGUAAUCCAACUACUAAGGGCCUAUCGUAGUAGUGAUUUUCAACAUCCCGGUUUUAAUGUUACUUUUCAUUAUGUUCUAGGAUUACAUAAGUGUGUCGCAGCUUGGUGCCAGCCAUAAGUGUCGGUGGUUGCUCCAGCAUUCCGACUCUAGGAAUGAGUCUAUCCCUGCCCGCCCCAUAGGUUUCUCGAUACCGCACGAGCAAUAUAAGUCCACGUAGGUCCAACUCCGGAGUGCCGACUUGUAGGGAGCGACUCUCACAAGCAUGUGCGAAUGAGCACAAAUGGCAAACAAGCAUAGGUAUCGUCGCAAGAACUAAGUCAUCAUGUCUCAAUGUGAAGGUUCACCGUUCAAUAAAUUCUACUGUCAUAUGACCUUAGGGCUUUACUAAGUCCAAAUCUUUUCCAGAGUACUAGUGCCGCUUUAUACACUAGGUUUCACUCGUCAACACAGUAACGACUCAAGUGCUCCUUUAUGACAUUGGCUCAAUAGUUUGCUAAUAACACAAGUCCCGAGCCUCCUUUUAUGGCAAUUAUGCAUGACCCGUAUGUCCAACAGGAGAAGUUAUGUCUAAGAAGCACAUUAACUUCUCAUUCUCACUAUAUAGAACCAUGAAUCUUGGUCCUAUCUAGAUGUUAAACACAUGUAUAAGUCUCACAUGCCACUCUCUAUCUAUGUAAGGAAGUGAAUUCCUCUGAAAUUCGAGGAUUUGUACUUCAUGCCAGGACUGACUAAUCUGUCAAGAGUAUACACCUUUGUCGGAGUUGGAGUUCCAAAACACAAAAAAAAUGCUUUGGAGUUGAGUCCCGAGAGCAAAUGGUGCACUUUUAGCUGAUGUUGCUCUCAGGGGAACGGCGGUCUCUGGACGUGAGAGACGCGGUUCCCUUGGUGGGGUGUAGCGUUCUUGGUGCAACACAAGUCCUGGCAGGGAGGGACCGGUCCCGAACGUGGUCUGCGAGCGAGAAAUGCCGAAAUUUGGCUAAGUCCUGAAAAUCGAGCUUCGGGGAACGGUCUCUCAAGUGAGGACCGGUCUCCGAGGACGCGUCUCCCGGGAAGACGCGGUUCCGAACUGCGUGCGCUCCGAGGGAAGCUCUCGGGGACGCAGUCCAAGUCGGGAGACCGGUCGCCUCGCCGCGAAAAACCCAGUAAGUGGCUGUGCAAAUGGAUGAACAGUGAGGGGUCUAAAUGCAAAAUGCCUUUAUUAACAGUGCUGUAGCCCUCUCUCUCCUCACAUUCAUUCAUUCACUCUCUCUCUCACCCUCUCUUUCUCUCUUGCUCUCCUCUAGAAAAGAAAGGAGAAAAAGAAGACAAGAAGAGAGGAGGAAAAAGAAAGAGAAUGGAAAGGAAGGAGAAGAAGAAGGAGAUCAAGGAGAAGGCUUUAGCUACCUUCAUCUCUCCUCUCCUCUUCUUUGGUGUAGCUCUUGAGGUAAGCUACAAACCGCUAAUGUAAGGUACCGGGACUUCUAAACUAUUAAGUUACGGUUUACAUUCGAUUGGGAAGCCAUUUGAAUGGUCCCGGUGAAGUUUGAUGAGGUUCGGAGCUAUCGGGUGCUUCGUGCGCGUAGGCGCUAAAACGGACCCGAAAGGCUGAGUUGGGCCGUGAGCUAAAUCCGGCAUUAGCGUGGAUGAAAAGAUGAUGAAAACAUGCUCGAAAACAUAUUUGAAGAGUCUCGGUUCGAUUUGAAACGAAUCGGAGGUCAAACGAGCGAAAACGGGCGAAAACGGAGAAGAAACGGUGAAAAAGGCUGAAAUUUGGCUAAGUCCUUGAGGCUGAGUACUGGACCUUCGGGGACCGGUCUCUCACCGCAAGGACCGGUCUCUCAGGGACCGGUCUCUCACCGCACGGACCGGUCCCCGAGCGCGAAAAUGGCCCCCACGGGGGCAAUGUAAUAAAGUGAAAGUUGAGGGGUUUUUAUGCAUAUUUGGCAUUAUGAGGGUGUAUAGAAGUGGGUUUUAGCCCAUUUCUCUCUUCUCCCUCACCCCAACACCACCUCUCUCUCUCUCUUAACGUGAAGAAGAAGAAGAGGAGAAAGAAGAAGAAAGGAAAAAGAAUGAAGGAGGAGGAGAAGAAGAGAAUCACCACCACUAUCAUCUUCUUCUUCUUCCUCUCAACCUUGGAGCAAACCUAGAGAGGUAAGCUUCUAGGGCUCUAAUGGUAACUUCUUAGGGUUUGGUUUAUACACCCUAAGGAUGGUUUAGAUGCAAUCCUAGCAUGCUAUCUAGAUGAAUGAUACCUAAUUCAUGAAGGUAUUUGGUGGUUUUUGCAAUAGUAGCAUCUAGGGCAUCAAAAAUGGGAUUUUUGUAAAUAGUUGGGUUUGAUCUCAAAUAACACUCUGUAAACCUAAUUGGUAGGUCCACGAACGCAACGGUGCGCUUGGUUUGGCGAUCCGACGAGUGUACGCGGAGAUAUUGAGGAUCGAAGCCGUUAAGGUACAGAUUGCCGCAGCUCGCGGCGAAGGCUUCCUAAAAUCAUGGAAAUGGAAUCGUAGCAUCGUGGUGUCGUGGAAUAAACUCCAGAAUAGACGGAUCGCGGAUUGGUGGCCGUUCGGGUGGUCGCGCAAGAGUUCGAGCCGAACCAGGUCACGGGUGCCGCGGGAGGCCGAUUGCAAGUGUCGACGAGCAAUCGGAACGCGAAUUAAGGUUGGUUGUGUUUACCGAAGCGACUAGGUCGCCCUUUAUGUCCAAGAUGAUUAAGAAUCCAUGUUGAUGCAUAUGAAUGUAAAUGAGGCAUAUAGAUGUUGCAUAUAAAUGUAAAUAAUGCAUGUUAAUAAUAUGAUGCAAAUGCUAAGUAGAUCCAUGUAAAAUGAUAUGUAUGUGUGUAUUGGAAUAUAUGCUAGUUGCACUUAGCAUUGUGAGUUCAUGCUAGAUAGUAAAUGCAUAUUGGCAUCAUAGAAUGUAUGCGAGAUGAAAUGUGGAUAUCUAUAGUACUCGUUAUGACAAAUAGGAUAUCAAGUAGAUCGAGUGGCAUUAACCUAGUGUUAAUAAACAUAGGUCGGACCUAGAUGACAUUGAACCUAGUGUUGUUGAACCUAGGAUAAAUAACGAGUGGCAUCUAACCUAGUGUUAAAGAACAUAGGUUGAGUAUGAACCUAGAGUCGGGAUCUAGGUGUGUGGCAUCUAACCUAGUGUUAAAGAACAUAGGUUGUUUAUGAACCUAGAGUUAAGGUAAACCUAGGUUGUGGCAUCGAGGCAUUAGACCUAGAGUCAGUUGGACCUAGGGUGGAAAGUGCAUUGGACCUAGAUAGGUCAAUAGUAUAGGGUUGGAUAUGGACCCUUGACUUGUGAAGUCGAUUCCGGAAUCCCAGUACUUGUGAACUCAAUAGUUCUUGGACCGCGGGUGUAUGCGGCGAUGUUCCUCUCCCACCGGAAAGAACUUUGAGGAUUAUGAUUAAGCAAGAACAAAGAGCGCUAGGGUGCACGGCAUGUUCCUCUCCCUAUCGGGAAUCUUGGCCAUGGGUGUACGCGGCUAUGUUUCCUCUCCCAUUUGCGGAUCCCUGACCACGGUGCACGGACCUUCGGGCGGACCGUUGGGCGAUGUAGUUCUUGGCUUGCAGGCUGAGGUGCAUGCGACAGGAUCCUUCACCUCGAGCCGGGCAGAGCGCGGAUUAUCCGCUGUUGAUUGACUCGAGGCCUAGUCGGGUGGCUAGCUGGAAUAAGGUAGAUAGAACCUUGAGGGCUAGUGGUAAAUGUGAUAACCUAAGGUGGUGGAAACCUUAGAGUUGGAUGACAUGAGCUAAGAUUAGCGAGAUUGAUUGUAGAAUCAAUAAUUCUACUAGUUGUUGCAUAUAUCCCUGUUGCAUAUAGCAUGACAUCAUUGCAGUUGUGAGGCAAAGCAAGGUAAAGUUAGUUGCAUGUUUAUGAUAUACAUAUCUAUCUGUUUAUUGGACUAACUUGUAUUUGCCUCUCUUGGACCUGUUGGUCGAGCUCCUCCCUUGGGUGGCCGUACCCACUGGGAACCAUGGAGUUGGUUCUCACCCCACGUUGUUUUGGGGUUUUACAGGUUCGCACGUGAGCGGCGCGGCGGCGCGAGGCAAGGGCGUAGCUCCAUAGAUAGCGCCCUACCCCCAGAGACCAGAGCUAGCAGUACCCCGUCGGCGUAGCUUAGGGGUAUAGAAAAUGAAAGGAAUAAAAUGUAUUAAACUUGUAAUAACUUAGAUUGUAUUUGGAAGUUGGAUGUAAUAUAUAAAGUGUGAUGUAAGUAAAUGAAUCUAAUGUGAAUGUUGUAAUAUCAUAGGAUGUGUUUAUGUUGAUUGAUACCUUCCUGAUGCAAUUCUGUUUGCUGAGUACUGUUCCUGGUUGGAACCUUUGUAAUGUACAUUGUUUGGAUUGCGACGCCUAGAACGUACAGGGGAGACUCUGUCCGCGUACAGGGGAAACCCCGGUCCGUUCGGCGGUCUGUCGGCGUGCCCGAACCGGACCAAAUUGGGAGCGGUCUCGGGCGUGACACCCUAGCUUCUAAACUUUGGAGUUUUGGGUUUUGGAAUGAGUCAAAUGAACCCUAAGCAUGCUUCUAAGUAGAUCAAUCCCAUGAAUCUAGGGAUUUAUUGGGUGGUUUGCUAUGGGUGCAAACUUAGGGCUCCAAAAUGGGGUUUUUGUGAAAAUAUGAGAUUGAUCUCAUUUGAAGCCUUGAAAACCCUAUUGGUAGGUCACAAAACGUGGGGGCGAAGUCGGUUUUAGCCUUCGGCGAGCCGGCGUGAAGUUCUCGGCAAAAUAGGGCCGGAAUAGCUUGGAUUUGGGCGAGGAAGGCUAAAGCCUUUUCGUAAAGUUCGCCGAGGAGCUUUUCCCAAGCCUCUACAUCGAUUAAAGGUGGGGGGUGCCAUCCCGAAGCUUUCGAACUCCUUUCUAUGUCUCAGAUUGCAUUUAAUCUCAUCUCUUCAUGUUGCAUUGUAGGAUUGCAUAGUAGCUACAUUCCUUAUGCUUUCUAAAGGAUAACCUAGUGUACUUGGAAUGCUUGGUAACAUAGAUAGGUGAGGAUUGGGUCGGAACGUGGAUCCUAUGAUGCGAAAGGUAGAGAUGAACCUGAUGGGGGUGUUGAUGACAUAGAAAGUAGUGUUAUUGUUAAAGAACAAACGAGUGGCAUCCAAACAUUGAAUGAUGACGAGUGGCAUUAAUGUAGUGUAAAUGACACUAGAGGUCGAUGGACCUAGGGAUAGGCGGAUCUCUUAGAAAAUGCCUUGUGAACAAUGAAUUUAGAAAAGCUAAAUAGCAUUGCAUGAAUGUCGGGAACAAAUGAUUUCCGCGAGAGAUGUUGACUCUAGUUGUAGAGCAUCCUCACUUGGAGAGGAUUCGAUUGGGUUGUUGACCCUAGUUGUAGGGUAUCCUCACUUGGAGAGGAUAGAUCUAGCUCACAGUCUGCGUUUGGGAUGGUAUAGCCAUCCAAUCCCCACAUGGAGGGGAUUGUCGUCGAGUACUCCAGCGUGUCGCGCGACUAGGACCACUUGGAGGUCCGGACCACAUGGAGGUCCGCAGACGGUCCCGGGCUUGGGUGCACUUGGAGCUCCCUCCCCACUUUAGGAUUGAAAGGUGAGUUAUAGGCGAGCCCUAGGGCCUCGCCACAGAUUGGGUAAAUGGAAAGGUUUAAUAAUGUCAUUGAACAUUGCUAUUCGAACAUGGAUCGAAUUUGUUAGCAUGGUAGCAAACCUUUAUUAUAUGAUGCAUGCAUUCAUAUUCAUGAUUAUGGGCAUAGUAGCAUAGUUUUCCUACUAUCGCAUUUACAGCUUUCAGAUACAUAUCUAUCUAUCUAUCUAUCUGUUGUUACUUGUGCCCACUUGGACCUAGUGGGGAGAUCGGCAGAGUCAGCGGCCAAGCCCACUGGGAACUAUGGAAGAUAGUUCUCACCCCACUCUAUUUCCAGUGGUAGGUCCAAGGCUGCAGAGAGAGGACCGCGGCAAGGGCAUUGCGCCCGACCAGUGAGACCGUGGUAGUAUAGUAGCUUUCCUUUUUGCAUUAGUCACCUAUGUAUUGAGAGAGAUUCAUUGUAGGUGAAGAUUUGGGAGAGCCAUGUAUUUUGAGAUGGAAAAUGUAUUCAUUUAAGAAAAUGAUGUAAAUGGGAAUGAUGAAACUAUUGUAAUAGUUAGUAAAGUGCUCUCUCUAUUUCACAUAUGCAUCUUGUGGAUUUGCUUGCUCUUUGUAUUGUUGGCACUGGUUGUGUCCUUGUGGAUGUGUAUGUUUAGAAUUUAAUUUUUCCUCGGUGAAUUCUUGUACACAUUCUUGUUGCGAGCCUUGGGCGGGCAGGGGAGGUGCUGCCCGUUCGGCGGUCCGCCGCCGCGGCCGAACCGUGCCAAAUGGGUAGUGGUUUCGGGGCGGGGCGUGACAACUACAUAGAGGUCCAAAAAUGCAUUAUAUAUAACGUAAGCAUUUUAAGCAUUCUAAACUUCACAAUAAAUACAUCUAGCAUGAAAAUGCAUGAAUUUCCAUUUUACGAAACAUAAAUCACCAAAUAUAAGAAUUUCUCAUAUUGUAGGCUAGGUCAAACCCACUGGACAACGCGCGACCCUUCGUUUGCUCCAACGAAGAUGUCCACUAGCCUCCUAGUACCCUAGAGGCACAAAAACAAAGGUUAAACAUUAACCUACUAAGCAAAAGGGUCAAAAUCUCACCUAUAGUGUAGAAAUCCCUUUCCAAAGCUCAAAUGGACGCUAGAUCCCUUCCAAAGUAACCUAAACCAAAGUUCUAAUCCAAUUAGAUUAGCUCAAAAAGCCUCUAAUCAAAAAGCCCCAAAUAAACCCUAGGUUUCCCAUUCUAGGGUUUCAUCUUCCAAAAUUCACCAAAACUAAGUCUAGAAGGGAGAAACAAGCAACUAACCUCUAGGAAGCUCCAAACCAAGCUCAAAAGCCUCUAGGGUUGAAGAUUGGUCCACCACCAAGCUCCAAAAACAAGCUUCAACCCACCAAAAGGAAGAAGAGAGGGUAAGAGUGAAGCUCCAAGUCCUCAAACAAGCUCUCCUUCUCCUUCCUUCUCCUCCUUCUUCUCCUUCUCUCUCUAAAAACAAUUGGAGGGUGAAAUGAGGGAGAAAGGAAAGUGAAAUGGCCAUAUAGGCCCUCUAGUGUAACAAAAUCCAAAAAAGCCCCUCAACUUUGCAACCUGUGCAAAGCCCGGACUGGGCAAAUUUCGCCCAGAGGGACCGGUCUCUCCCCGCUUGGGACCGGUCUCUCAGGUCCAUCCCGCAAAACCUGCUCUUGGAAACCGGUCUCUCCCCGCAUGGGACCGGUUGCCUCGCAGACUGCCGCAACACUGUUCCAAAGGGACCGAUCUCUCCCACCAGGGACCGGUUUCCGAGAGUAAAAACUCUCAGGAUAAAGCUGAAUUUUCAAGAUUCGAACUUUUUAGGUUGGAACACCUUCUACGACCCUCUACAAAGCGUGGAAAAGCUCGGAACACAUCCAAUCACUCGAACCUCGCAAUUUGCACAGGUCCAGUGUGUGUACUACAAGGUUUACUCCUUGUAUAUUCGGAGCCUGCCCCCUAGCCCCUACAUUUUGGGGCUGGUAUGCUGCUACUGGUGGAGGAGGUAGUAAACCCUAUGCUAUCUAUGGCUAUUGACCGGCAUUAACAACAGCCGGUCUAUAAGCCGCUUGAAAUGGUGCCCCCUGGUAUUGAGGUUGAUCAUUUACCAGUGUUACAGGAUUUUGUAACACUGGUGUCAUCACAGGCCCUUAUAAGCCUGUUGCCGGUUGCUCAUUUCGAGUCAACAAUUGCCCUAUUCGGGCAAUAUUCUCAUUCGAUGCCGUAAUUGCGGCCAAUACUGCAUCUAACGGUGCAGUGCUUCUAUAACUAUUCUGGUCCAAAACUUGUAGGACCCGAGUCAUUUGUCCAAGCGCCUGAGCCAAACUAGGCUCUUGUUGGUCGGAUUGACCGCUAGUCUCACCCUCGGCAGGUAAGACUGCUUGGCAUUCCCCAGCAUUAUCCGAAUUACUGGGUUGUUGGUCGCUCCCAGAACUUCUAGGAAUGACUCUAUUGCGCAAAUUCAUGGCAUUAUCAUCAGCCAUUAUAUCAAUAAAUAAUAAAAAUUACCUUAAAUGUGUCCCACUGGGCGUGCCAAAAAUUAUGGCGUGUCGAAUUCCCUGGUCCUUGACCUAGUCAAAGAUCCUUCUCGGGGAGCGUGUCGGGAUGAAAAACGGCUGUGGAUAGUGACCCUCGAAGUUUGCGCCCAUCAACUGGAUCAAGCGAUUCGGCUGACGAGAGAUCGGAUUAGCCGAGUUCGAAAACUCUAUUAAAGAUUCGGUUCGGCUGGAAUGAGCCGAAUGUACAAACCAGCUACAGAUUUGACUCGGUAGAUGAGCCGAAUAGAAGAAACACACACCAGUUGGUCGGCUUGAAGAGCCGAAAGCCCUAGAAAUUAAGCUUGAGGAAAAGUACAAGGGUUGAGUGUGCCGGAUGGCAUACAAAUUCGGUUGAUCUACUUAGGACCUACUCCUAGGGAAAAAACAGUAAAUGCAAGAAAGUAAAAGUUAGAAGUAGACUACUCCUAGAAAAAUGCGAGAAAUUGUAAGGAAAUAAGGGCGGUCUUUUGUUCACAGGGAAAAGACCCCUUUUUAGGGCGUUAUUGACCUAUUUAUAGAUCACCCCUUGUGAUCAGUUAUCACUUAUACAUGAUCGGCCACUAUUCCUGAUUUUCCAGACCACUUUCAGCCGAUCAGAACCGCUUGCAACUACUUGCAGUUACUGUAACCUCCCUUAAUUUGCAUGGCGGUUCGUUCCUUAAAAACCCUUCCGAUCUCCCAGUGUACAGCAAUAUAGUUUUCUUUAGGUAGAAUAUCGGAGCACCACGUGUCUGCGCCGAAUUGACUCAACACUCUCCAAGCUUGAUCCACCAUUAGAGAGCUUGCCUCACCUCCAAGCAACCUUCAUUUCCUUUCAAUCUUUUCUUUGGUGGAAAGGUUGCAAAGAAGAGGGAAAGAGAGAGAAAGUGUUAGAGACGGAGAGAGAGGUGUUUCCCCUACUUCUCACAUGUGUGGGGUGGUAGAAAUAAGAGAGAGAGAGGCUGCGGGGACCCAUUUAUAACACCCAAAAAGUGCAGGGUCCGGACCUUGGGUUCAGGGUCCAGAACCUGUAGCCAUUUUAGGCAUUUUCACAACCAGAGUCCACUAUAUGGAUAAGGUCCGAACCCUAACACUGUGAGCACUUUUUUCAGCCUUUUUAUGUUCUUCUCAUUUUCGCUUAAAAACUCUAAUUUUUUUUCGGUUUUCCAUCCAAAUCAAAUCCAACACAACCAAAACUCCUCUAUACAUGUAAAACACUUUUAAGAUUGGAGAAUUACAAAUGUUUUCUUAUAAACACAAUUAAAUGUUUUCUUAUAAACACAAUUAAAUUUGGAAAUACAAUCAUUUCUCAAAAGUUGUCGUUCACUCCGAACUUUCUUCAAGUUUCACCGAUGCUUCUUCUAAUCGUUCCGACGCUCUUCAGAACAUCACAUGGACCUCUCCAAAUCAUCCCUCACCGCGUAUUGGCCGACUUGGUCAAAGUUCAAUACAACGCACCGGGAUUCGGUAUAUUACAUGCCCCCUCCCUCACCAGCGAGCUUCUUAGCGCCAAGAAGUGCUUCCUCUUCAUAAUCGACGGUGGUGGUGAGGACGGCGGGUUCCCAGAAGUAGGUCUGGUAGGUAGAAAAUUUGCUGUAGUGGAGGUAGAGGGCAAAGGCAGAGGAAGAGGACACAGUGUCGUCCUCGUUACUGUCGCAGAGAGCCACGGAGGCAGUUGAGGAGGGUUGGAGAGAAAUAAAAAAAUGCGUUGCGACCUCGGCAAGGUAGGAGGCGUGGAAAGCAGGGGGUGCGCGGGCGCGGGCGAGGGCGCUCGAGGCAAAGGCGAGGCGAAUCGCCUCUGUCCGCCUCCGCCUCCACCUCCACCACCCUUUUCAGAGAGAGAAAAAAAAAAAAAAAAAAAAAAAAAAAAAAAAAAAAAAAAAAAAGAAGGGGAGAGAAAUGAACAAGGAUAUUUUGGUCAGUUUUUUGAAAAUUCGGAACGAAUGUGAAAAAUCCAAAACGGUACUUUUAAAAAAAUCUCAAAGGUAAUGGAUUUUUUAUGCAAAUUGGCCUAACAUGAUUUUGGUCCGUAGAUCAAAUUUAAUUUUUUUCUUUAAUACAAUAUUAUUUGGAGGGAGGGCAUUGGCCUAGAACUAGAUUUUAUGAUGGGCCAGGCUGACCCGGUAGGGAUGGCUCAAAUGGGCCGCGACUCUGGGUCGGCUCGCAUUCAAGUUAUGCCAUGCCGGGCAGGCGACCAACAAAUCACCCGAUCCGUUUUGCAGCCCAAAUUUAAGUAUCAACCAAACAUAUGAGUCUUAACCAAAUAAAAUACAAAUUACCUCAAUAACGAGAUUAUGAUUUAUGGACAGAAAUUAGCAAACUUCAAAUUAGCUUAAAGCUUUCGGUUGAGAAGAGGAGCAAAGGACGUUCGUCUUGGUUUUGCUAAUAGAUUAAUGAGGAGAUUUUGAAAAUUCAGUUUUACACAAAAAAAAUAAUAAUAAAAAAAAAAAAUAUGCAGAAGCGUAUUUGCAAUGUAGCAAAUUUUUGGAAGAACAUAAAACCAGAGUUCAUUCAAGCAUGAUUGUAUUGACCUUUCAUUACCAAUAACAAAAGAUAAACUUCAAAGCUCACAAUUCACAAAAUGAAAGCCGACUGCGGUCGACUUGUGACAUCGACGUACUUUGGCAAGAAAACAACAUCAUUCAAACUUCAAUAUUUCUGAAACAACAAAAGAUUUUAGCUCCUCUCAUCUUGUAAGACAGAAAGCAAGCCGUCUCUCUUCGAAUGAAUACGUGAACUCCUCUGCUUUCUGUGCUUUCACCGUCGCAGCUGCUUCAUACAUGAGACAGGUUGGAGCAGGAGUCAUCGCCAUCUGCAUUGGAAUGUAAGCAGUCAUAGGAGUUUUAGGAGGUGGGGCUGCCAUUGCAGUCUUCAGAUUGUUCUUGUUCUCCUCUUCGGUUUCAUUGGAGAUCAGCCUCAAGGGGGUGGAUGGAACGUUGCUCGCAAUUACGAUUGGAGCAAAGGGUUUUCGAGGUGUUUCUGCCUCUCGAGGAGGAUUCGCUGGAUUGAAAGAUAGCUUCUUUACAGGGAGGCCGGCAAGAUCUAAGCCUCUCCUACCUGAGAUCAUUUAAAAUGGUGUGGCAAAUAGUACAGUAACCAACAAAGAUAUAACUUUGUAAUGGAACUUAAAAUUAACAGACAAAUAAAACACCACAAAAGUAUUCAUAUAUGCUAGUAUUAUUUGAAUUUUCAUAUCUUCGCUAAAAAUGCACAACAGAACUUAGAAACUCAGGAUCAAUCUACAAAAGCCAAUCUUUAAUCUACCUUGAGUAAUUCACAACCAAAUACUCCCAUGAAGUGGUUGAAUCUCCCUUAGACACCGUAUUUUCUAAUAAAAUCAAUGUCAAAGAGCAUAUAUGUGAAUGCAAACUUUGCAGGAGUAUAAAUCCGAAAACAAGUAUAAAAGGUCAUGCACUUAAAUUCUAACUUUACGUGGGUAUUCAUUUAACUAAUUAUGCAGGUACAUUUUUGUAAAAGGUCCAAGGAAAUAUAUAUAUUACCAGGCGAUAAGGUACCAAUAUCAUCUGUCUUCUUCGCUGAACGGAUUGACUUGUUCGUGUGCAGCAAAUCUGGCUUUGGCGGUUGCAUUAUGGCUCCACCAAGAGAGAGCCGCCGACUUGGAACUCCUGUAGAAGUUCUCGGCAUCUUCUUUGCGCUUUGAGGCUUUGAAGGGCUUGGUUUCGAUCCGUAGAGCGCUUCCUGCUCAGCUAUAAGUUGGCCCUGAAGUUUCUUCUGAUCCUGCAAUAAGACUUAUAAUGAGGGGUAAUCUUAUAACCAAUGCAGACUAGUACAAAACUACUUGCAUUCAGAAGGCGUAAAUUACCCUCUGUCUCUUGCGUUCUUGCUCUUUCUCCUGCCUCACUAUGGUGUACUCUUCCAGCAUGGAAAGAAGGCGAACCUGCACAAAUCAAGUAACGAAAUCAUGAAUAACCAGAUUUUCUAUUGCUAUUUUUGCUUGGAGAAUUACAAAUGAAAAUGGGUUGAAUAGUAACCAUCUAAUCCAGAUUCCAAUAUGAAGUUUUGCAGGAUAUCAAUUUACAUUAGCUAAUCUAACUUGAAUUGGGACCCAUAUCCAUAUUUAUGUAGCAUCCAGAAACACAUGAAAUAUUCUAUCUGAAUCUGUAUCCACAUCACAAACAUGUAUAAUUUUUUCAAGUAUAAUACAAUAGAUAUGCUCACAUUACUUCUCAAAAGCUCUUAAUUAGUUCAUGCCAUAUAUUUUCCAGCUACACCUAAUAUAACCUUUUAUGUAUAUUUGAAAACAAAUAGAACAUCCGUAUUUGAUACUAACACAACGAUUAUACCAAAUUAAUAUGGCUCUGACACUAGCAGCACUAUAAUUCUCGAAUUGAGUUGCAUUUCAAAAAAAUGAAAGUAAAUACACGAGUUAGCUGCAAUUAAUUUAUCCAUUUUCACCUCAACUUAAGAAUGAAAGAUGCAGUAAGAGAUCCUUACUCCGUCGUAAGUAAACUCCAAGCCCCUUUCUUUCUCCCAUGCAGUUAUUUUGGCAGCUAAAUUAUCUCCCAUUGCUGCUCAAGACCGUCAUGGAAUCAAUCAGACAUGAAGUAAACUAGAUGAAAAACUACCAACUACCAAGUAGCACCAAGAAUUGUAAUGUUAUGUUAUAGAGCAGUUGAAAAUGACAUGAUUACCCGGAAUCUUGGUAACCAAAGCUCGGGCUUUUUCGGCCCGCUUGAGUGUAAGGUGAGCACCUCUUCCCGCAUUGUAUCGGUUUUCAUCCUAAGGUAUAAAUACAAAGAUACAUAAGUAGUUGCAGAAAUGUAUGGGCUCUUGAUUGCACAGUUGAUCAAAUGCCUAACCCUGCUGUACUCCUCAAGCCAGGAUUCCUCCUCAGAUGCAGCCAACCAUUUUUCGACCCUUUCAAGAAUAUCCUUCCGGCUAAAUGCUUCCUCUUUAACUGUUGAAAUUUGGACCUCAAUUUGCUCGAGCACUAAAGAAGGAUCAAUAGCCCCUGCAAUAGAAGAGAUAAGAAAAAGAUGGUAUGGACGAUUGCAUACAUAAUAAUGCAGAUGCAACAAAAGAAAUACAAAUGGAUAGAUGAUAAAACUGGGAUCAAAAUUUUUAUGCAUGAUAAUAGGGAAUAUAGCAUCAACAUAUCAAUUUUGAUUGUAUUAUUAAUAUUACCUGCUUCAAUAGCCUCAAUUGCGAAUUCUCCUUCACAAUUUGUUUCCCCAACAAGAUGUGUCCGUCGUCGAAGCUCCUCCAGUUCAGAUUUCUUCUUCAGUACAAGAUCUUUCAUCUUGCUCGCUUUUAGUUGUUCAAGCCUCAACACUUCUGCUUCCACCUGCAACAAACAUGAGCUCUCACUACCUUAACUCAAGGAGUUUAUUGACGUUAUAGAAGAAAAACUAAAACUCCCAUCCUUUUUUUAUGCAAUCCACAUACAUAACUAAGGAAAUCGAUAGAAAGGGUAUUAGGCUCCGUGAUUUCAUCUUCUGCUGCAGCAAUGUUGCGUGUAACAUUCUGAAACAGCUGCUGUUCUUCGAUUGGAGUAUCCAUGAGAUUCCACAGCUCCAGCAUGGUACUUGCGAGAUCUUGAAGCUGCCACAUUCUAAACUAUAAGCAAUUGAAAUAUCAAACCAUUUUCUGCGUAACUCAACUAAAGCACUUACCUUUUGCAUUCUCUGGAGCUUAAUCUCUCGUAAUUUCUCUAUUGCAGAAGCCAGCCUUUGGAUCGUCUCAUUACUCAUGUUCUUCGACACUUCAACUCCAUCUAAGCUCGGAUGUACAUCGGAAACUGUCUGCUUGAAAUCUAUACCAAGUACCUCGCAUAAUAAAUUCAAACUCUUCAAGUGAUCCAUCACCUUCUUUAAGCGAUCACUCUGAGAUGAAAGAGAUUUGUAAGUCAAAAAACAACAAGAAUCAUGUUUUACACUGCUAUAGCUUAUUUAAGCUCAAUGCUGUAGGUACAACCUUCUCCUUUUGAAGACACUGCAGUUGCUUGUGCAAUUCCUCAAGCUUUCUUGUGGAUAGAUCAGAUUCAUCAACAACAAACUUGGCAGGAGUGUAGUCCGUAGGCCUGAUCUCAAGUGUGAUCUUCCUUAUUUGCUCUAUAACUUCAAGAAACUGGUUCCAUCUUUCCAUCUUUCUCUUUUGCAUCUCUUCCAAUUGUGGAGUAAUGGCAUUGAGCUCCUCCUUCAAACUUCCAGCAUUCUGAGUGGACUGAUAAGAUCACCCGAAUUACUACUAGUAAAACUAACCUACAAUUUCCCAUUAUAACUUCUAGCACUCAAGUGCAUGAAGAUUUAUUAAUUAUAGAACACAGCUUGAUAAUCUUAGCAGAAACUGCUGAAGUAAGAGAGUAGUUCAUACAAUUCUCUCCUGAUUAGCAAAAUAAAGAGGAACAAACUAGCCGCUUAGAUGAUGCAGAUGCAUGAAAAUUUUAAACUCUAAUUUCAAGCAAAUAAUUCUUUUGAGCGUAAAGUGUUAAUAAAAGAAACGGACCUGCCAAAUAUGAACCGGUCGCUCACCCAUUGCAGAACAGAUGACCGCAAGCUCUGCUUCAGCAUCAGCAAUGGCUUGCCGCAGCUGAGCUCUGCAGCGAUUGGCAAGGUCAACCUUGCAUCUAUAGACUUCCAGGCACUCUUGUUCGAGCUCGAGAAGCAUUUUGUCCCUUUCUGCAUCGGUUUCACCAACUUCAUCCCAUAUCACCUGCACUCAAUAGCAUUCACAAGACAAAACAAUGCCCAUAAUUAUAAAGUUAUUCUACAAAAAAGAACAAAUGCAUACUUUUGAAUUUUUAUCUACAGACAAGCAGAUGAUAUGGUUAAACAAAUAAUUCAUUUAUAUGAUAGGUGUCGGCAGGGAUUCUCAAUGGCUCUCAUUUGAUAAUUUGGGAAGGAGAGAAAAUCAGAGAGAAAAGAGAGAAAAUAUGCAAAAGAUAUUAUAUUUUCAUUACCUUGUUUGGAUGUAGAGCAAAAGGAAAAGAUUUAACAACUCUACCCACUGGCACUGUUAAAUUAUAUGAAACAAUUGUUAUUCUCCAAAAGCAUAAUGUCACAUGAUAUCAGAGCAGGAGGUCCUAUGUUUAAAUUCUGCGGAACCCCUAGUCUCAUUUAAUUUCCUCCCAUCUAAUUCAAGUCCCGUCUUGGACCUAUAUAAAAUCUUGAGCCUAGAUGUGAGGGGAGUGUUGAAGAUAAAAUAUAAAAACACCGUUCGCUUGUAGCUUAAGCAUUUAAAGACAAGACGGUCAUUUCAUAUGAUUUAACAAGCACUAGUAAAUCACUGGAUCUAGAUCACCGGCCUAAAAUGUUUAGGCCCGGUUAUUACUACUAGAUCCCUUGGCCCUUAUAUUCCCAAUAAUAGUCUCGUUUCCAUCCAAUGUGAGACUAUUAGGGCAUCAUAAAAGAAAACCUAUUUCAUAGGUUGAAGAACAGAGAAAAGAGAAAAUACAUCAAUACACUACUAAUGCAUCAUAUGCAUACAAUCUCAUCAGUCGUAGACAAUUAUAAUAUCAAGUUCUAAAAUUGUUCUGCAAAGAAGAUGGAGAGAAAGGAUAGCAAAGAUGUAAAUUAUUCUUUCUGAGCGUUACUAACAAUUAGAUGUACAACACCACAGUAAUAGAGAGGGACAGAACAAAAAACUAUGAAUUAUACUUUCUAAGCAUCGUAAACAAUUAAAUGGAGAGAGGGAGGGAGAGACGGGAUUCGACCAAAUGAAAAGCACAAACCGAUUCUCUUCUAUAAAGCAAAAGGUAACUCUGAAAAUAAGAAAUGUGAAAAUAAGUUGGGUCUAUUUCCUUCUUCUUCUUCUUAACUUUCUAUUGUCCCGUAAAAUUUAGUCCCAGUAAGAGAAAUAGCUUUCUCUCCUUAUUUUCUGGCUUUCUCCAUCCAAACAGAACUUAAGCAAUUACAUCAUUAUAUGCAAAUGCUACAGAAUAUGGUAUUUGAUGGGCUUAGAUUAGGGAUUAUCCAGUACAGUCUUAAUUCAGGGUAAUUUGGAUUGUUAUAGCACAUCCUCUGUAACAUAUCUUUAACAAAAACAAAGAGGAAGAAAGUAGAUAAUUAUUGACUACGGAAAAAAUUUUCAUAGUACCUGAAGCUCAUAUAGAAGAGAUCCACAUGUCGUCUCCAUUUGCAAAAGUUGAUCACUUGGGAGAUUAGUCAUCUUGAAGAAAUGUUUUCUCCUGCAAAAAAUUUAUUCAUGUAAGACAGCAUGACCAUAUCUAUAAAUCACUAUUUGAAAAGAUGGUGCAUACACCUCUAUAUGCACCUGCAUAUGCAGAUGUGGAUGCUUGGUUGCACCGCAUAUAAUUUAGAAAUGCAUAAUGAGCACAUAAUUAAGCAAUCUACUAUAGUGAAGUUUAAGCAGGUAAGUAGGCUUAGCACGACAUAUCGAUUAAUAGCUACUCUAACACAUAAAAUAUCAUACAUAAUACAUAUACUUUUGUUGAUUGAUUUCGAUUAUAGAAUAUUUUAUUUUUAGGAUUUUUUUUUUUUCCUAAAUAUAUUGCAUAAAACUUUGAUGUUAAACUGUUCCAAUGAUCUAAAAUAUGUAAAGUCAUUAAAAAUUCUAUAUAUCAUUUAUUUCUCUUCUUCUAUGAUGAUGAAUUCAUUUUUCUUUGGCUCUCAAGUAUUUUUUAUAUUUUUGUAAUAAUCAUUACGUUAUUUACACUUAUAUGAACCGCAUAUCCACCUACAUAUCACAUAAGCGCAUAUGCACUUGCAUACCACCUAAGCGCAUAUGCACACUAUUGGAAAUAAAUCUUGCUUCUAGAAUGUUGGAAAUAAGUCUAUUCUUUUAGUAGAAAUAUGUAUUUUUCAAAUAUUUUGAUUCGAAAGCAUUAAACAACUGUUUUGAAAAAUCGCAUGCAAUAAGCAAGGUCAAAUAUUAUAAAAAUAAAGAGUUCAAAUGAGGCUUGCGGAGGCGUGCUACGCAUUAUCCUAGAAGCAAGAUUGCCCCUCCAUGUGUGAGGCAUCGGCGAUCACUUCUAGCGAUACCAGGAACACGAGCUACCUUGUUGGGGCAGCAGAAUGUGAACCAAGAAGGCUCUCAGAGAUAUAGCUAAUAGAGCAAAGAUUAAAAGAAUAGUCAUGCUCAGUAGAAUAUUAAAGUCAUUGAAUGGUAGUACAAAUCACAGGACAAGUGAAAAUUCUACCCCAUUAUCUAGAGCUUCACUUGGUGUAAAAUUGAUUAAAACUUGAUCUUUAAACUGAUAUUUCAAGCACAAAUGCCUUUUCAGUUGUGUGGUUGUGCCCGUCUUUGGUUUUGAAUACAUCUUUUGACAAUAUUUGCAUAUAAUCUUCUUCACUAAGACUUUAUUCUCAAGAACUUCUACUUCUUCAAAACAUUCCCAAAUCUUAGAAAAGUUUUGUUAUGACUUCUCUUUCCUUCUAGUUCACUUUCAACCUUUUCCAUAUCAUUAUUUGUAACACCCCUACACUAUUUCUUUUGGCCCUCAUUCUUUUAAAGUUUGGACCAUUUUGUAAAUAUCUAUUGUUGAGGGACUCGGCGGCAUAUUGUGUCUAAUUAAUCCCUAAUACCUAAUUCUGUUUUGCUUCCCAUUCGUAACAGCACCUUAACCCAGCCCAUCUAUCUUUCCCCUGCACGACUCCCUCUCUCCAGCUUGCGUCCGUACGCCCUCCCCCGCUUGCGUGCGCACGUUGUCGUUCCGAUCACCGUCAUCACCGCCGUCAUCCGAGGCCGCCUUCGCCGCAAUCCUCAUCUAUCGGCAUUUUCGAUUCAUCGUCGACGACAUUUUGUUGUCAACAUUUCUAUAUUUAAGAAGGUUUAUUCUUUUCAUUUUCGUCUCUACACCUAAUAACUUUAUCCAUAUUUAUGUGAUUGUUGUUAGGUGUUCUUCUUUAAUGAUAUUUCUAAGAUCAUUCAAAUCUGAUUUCGAAUAAUCUAAAUUAAUAUUGGUUGAAUUGUUAAUCUUGUAUCUUGUAUUCUCUAUAUGAUUUGGCUAUAUAAACUUUGCAAAUUCUACAUACUUUUGAAAUGCCCGUUACAUGGUCGACAAAAUGCCUAAGAAAGGGCGAACUUCGUUUUUGUUUCUGAUUUCGAUUCCAUCUAAUUGUAAAUUGUCAAUUAAUGUCUCAACAUUUGAAAACCAUUUUUUCUCGAUCAUAGAUCCUUCAUUUAUUAUUUAAAAUUCCGUUCAUGUUAUCGUGUUUAUUUGAAUCGUUUAAUCUUUGAAGCUCUGCAUUCUUGAUUGUUAAUUGAGUUUCAUCGAGUUCAUUAUUUUAAAUCUCUUUCGUGCUCCGUCCUGACCUAUUUGCAUGCAUUUGUAACAGACCUUGUCAACCUAUAUAAAAAGCCUUUCCGAAUUUAAAUUUUUGUAUAAACUUGUCUUCUAUCUAUCUAUCUAUCUAUCUAUCUAUGUAUAUAUAUAUAAUAAAUAAUAUAUAGUAUAUAUAUAUAUAUAUAUGUAUGUAUGAUAUGGUAAUGAUAUAUAUAUAUAAUUAUAUAGUAUGUAUGUAUUGUAUUGUAUGUAUAUAUUAUAUAUAUAUAUAUGUAUGUGUAUGUAUGUUAUGUAUGUAUUAUAAUAUAUAUAUAUAUAUAUAUAUAUAUGUAUGUAUGUAUGUAUGUAUGUAUAUGUAUGUAUGUAUAAUAUAUAUAUAUGUAUGUAUAUAUAUAUAUAUAUAUAUAUAUAUAUAAUGUAUGAUAUAUAUAUUAUAUUAUAUAGUAUAUAUAUUGUAUGUUAUAUAUAUAUAAUUAUAUAUAUAUAUAUGUAGAAUAUAUACUAGUAUAUAUAUAUAGAGUCCGGACUUGCUACGGUAGCACGGGCGCUCCGUGCACUACCAAGUUUUCGAUGAUGUGGCUUCCAAAUCGACGAUCGGCUCCGUUAGACUUUGAUCUACACUAUUGAAAGCAUUUGAAACUAAAUUUCAGAUUUUUUCGACAUUCAUUUGACUAGUGAUCAAAAAAUCUCAAAAUGACCAAUUUUAAUGGCCGAUGUGGUGUGUUUGUGAGUUUAACGGUGUAAAACAAUCCAAAUGCGAUGAAAUUUUUAUAGAAAAUUUCUUUCACUAUUUAGAGAGAUCAGUAUAUCUGAUUUGAAUUUAAAUCUUUUAUCGUCAUUUUUCUAUGAAAUUUUAUUUUUCAGCCGUCUAAUUUUAGACUCUUUGUUUAAUAGGUAAAUGAUAUCGAAAAAUUAUGAAAUUUAGUUUCCAAAUACUUUCAAUAGUGUAGAUCAAGUCUAACGGAGCCGAUCGUCGAUUUGGAAGCCGCCAUCAUCGAAAAACAAACUUGGUAGCACGGAGCGCUCCGUGCUGUCGAUAGAUAUAGUAGCCUAGUUCUAUAUAUAUUAUAUAUAUGUAUGAUAUAUAUAUAUAUAUAGAACUAGGCUACUAUACUAUCGGUAGCACGGAGCGUUUCGUGCUACCGAGUUGUUUCCAAUGAUACGGCUUUCCAAUUCGACGAUCGGCUCCUUUAGACUUGAUCUACACUAUUGAAAGUAUUUAGAAACUAAAUUUCAUAAUUUUUCGAUAUCAUUUAACUAUCAAACAAGUAGUCCUAAAAUUGAACGGCUGAAAAUAAAUAUCUCAUGAAAAAUGAUGAUAAAAGAUUUAAAUUCAAGAUCAGAUAUACUGAUCUUGCUCUAAAUAGUGAAAAGAAUUUUCUAUAAAAUUUUCAUCGCAUUUGGAUUGUUUUACACCGUUAAACUCACAAACACACCACAUCGGCAUUAAAAUUGUCAAAUUUUGAGAUCUUUUGAUCACUAGUCAAAUGAUGUCGAAAAAUUAUGAAAUUUAGUUUUCAAAUACUUUUAAUAGUAUAGAUCAAGUCUAACGGAGCCGAUCGUCGAUUUGAAAGCCGCAUCAUCGAAAAAAUUGUAGCACGGGAGGGCCCUGCUACCGAUUAGUAUAGUAGCCGGACUAUAUAUAUAUAUUAUAUAUAUGUAUGUAUAUAUGUAUGUUAUAUAUAUAUAUAUAUAUAUAUUAUAUAUAAUGUAUAUAUAUGUAUGUAUAAUAUAUAUGUAUGUAUAUAUAUGUAUGUAUAUAUAUAUGUAUAAUGUAGUGUAUGUAAUAUGUAUGUAUAUAUAUUUAUAUGUAUGUAUAUAUGUAUGUAUUGUAUAUAUACGUAUGUAGUGUAUUAUAUGUAUGUAUGAAUAUACGUAUAUAUACGUAGUAUAUAUGUAUGUAUGUAUAUAUAUACGUAUAUAUAACAUUACAUACAUAUAUUCAUACGUAUAUAUAUAAAACAUACAUAUAUACAUUACAUACGUAUAAUAUUACAUACAUACAUUAUACAUACAUAUAAAUAAUAAUACAUAUAUACAUACAUAACAUAUAUAUAUAUUUAUAUAAUAUAUAUAUAUAUAUAUAUAUAUAUUACAUAUAUAUAUAUAUAUACAUAUAAUAUAUAUAUGUAUAUAUAUAUAUAUAUACAUAAUAUGUACAUAAUAUAUAUAUACAUAUAAAAUACAUACAUAUGUACAUAACAUAUAUAUAUACAUAUAAACAUACAUACAUAGUUAUACAUAUAUAUAUACAUAUAAACAUAAACUAUGUACACUACAUAUUAUAUACAUAAUACAUACAUAUAUUACAUACAUAUUAUACAUACAAUUAUACAUACAUAACAUAUAUACAUACAUUAUAUAAAUACAUAUAUAUAGAUACAUACAUAUAUAAUAGAGGUUGAGCUAGAAUACAUUCAAAAGCACCAAUGAGGUGUGCUUUUGAGUUUUUAACCAUUGGAUGGAGAAUGUAAGGUUGUGAUGAUGGUGGUUGGUGGUGGUAGGUGGAAUAUGUUUGAUCCAAGGGCUAUUAGUAAAAAAGCACCAAUGGUGAUACUCUUUAAAAGUAUUCUAGCUCAAUUCUCUCUCUCUGCUCUCUCUCUCUCUCUCUCUCUCUCUCUAUAUAUUAUAUUAUAUAUAUAUAAUAAUUCGGAAAGGCUUUUUCUUAUCCUAUCUAUCUAUCUACCUAUUCUAUCUAUAUAUUUUAUAGAUUGAGCUAGAAUACUAUCGUAGCAAAACGCGGCUCGUUGCCACCAUUUGUUUUCGAUGGAUGAACCCAAAUCGACAAUCCGGCACCGUGAACAUGAUCUAUACCAUUGAAGUGUUUAGAAUGCAAAUUUCAUUCAUGUUUCGGAUUAUUAUCUGCUUUACCAUCCGAGUUGACAACAAAAAAUGAACGGCUUGAAAAUGAAUAAAUUCUUAAAAAGAUGAUGAUAGAGUCUUGGAGUUAAGAUCAAAGAUAUAGACCUUAUUUUAGAAUCAAAUUCUAAAGAAUAUUUCUAACAAAAAUGAAUUGAUUUUUUGAUAUUUUUUACGCCAUUAAACGAAAAAGCCCUCAUAUCGGACCACAUUAAAAAUUACAAAUUUUUGAAACCCUUUUGAUCGAUUAGGCAGAAUGGAUGUCGAAAAGAUUUGAAAACUAUGAUUUUCUAAACACCUCAAGUGGUUAUAAGAUAUGUUCAAUGGUUGCCGAUCGCUGAUUUGGAGGCUCUAUCAUCAAAAAUAAUCAUGCGGGGUGGCAACGGUAACCCGUGCUUUGAUAUAAUUUCUAGUUCAACUCUAUAAUAUUAUAUAUAUAUAUAUUAUAUAUAUAUAUAAUAUAUAUAUUAUUUUUAUAUAUAUAUAAUUAGGCUGGAAAUACUAUUUAAUAGCGCCAAGUGUUGCGUGUUAUUAAGUUUUUUUAGUCCUUCAUUGAGAAACUAGCGUGGUUAGGAUGAUGUGGGCCCCUAGGGUUGAGUAGGGUUGGUUAAUAGGUAUAUCUAACAAGUUAAAAAUAGUCAAAGGGUUAAAUCUAACGGUGGAAAAUUCGAUAGGUACCAAAAUCCUUGGUGCUAUCGAAGUAACGCCCAAACCGGGGAACUCUUAUAUAUUAUAUAUAUUAUAUAUAAUAUAGAGAGAAGACGGAGGCAGGAGAGUCGUGGUACUGAGCAGAAUAAGGUAGGAGGGGAAUGAUGAGAGAGAGAGAGUUGGGCCUAGAAUACUAUUGCCCCUAUUGCUAUCAACUUUAAUCUUUGGAACAAUUCCUUUUGAUCAUUUCUAACCAUUGAAUUAAAUAUUAUAACCCAUGGACCACUCAAACCCUAGGAGGACCAUUCAACCCUAAAAGGACUGAAUAGCAACUAUCCCUAACAAAUUUAUCAUCAACGAGUUAAAACCUUGAUUAGCAAAAAGGCAAAAAUAUCAAUAGUAUCAGCUCAAUUUCUAUAUAUAAUAUAUUAUAUAUAUAUAUAUAUAUAUAUAUAUAUAUAUAUAUAUAUAUUGUAACCCCGAUUCGGAAAAAUUAUCGACUUUAGCCAAAUCGACUAAAGUAUUGCGAAGAAGAUGGAGACAAGUCCCAAUUAGCAUCUUCGACACGGUUGGAAGGCUAAAAAGUAAGCUCAAAAAAGAGUUGGGAGGGUUUUGGCAAUCGAACGGCGCGAAAGUUAGAGUUGAAUCGAGCCAAAAAUGACAUUCUUGGAUGUCUUGUUACGGUUACAAGCCCCCAUAUGGUUGUUACCGGUACAAACCAGCGAAGGUACUCGGCUUGGAGUGCCAGGCCUGUACCGGUACAAGGGGCUGUACCGGACAAGACUGCGGCAACCGAGAGAGCGAGCUCUCGGGUUGGGCUUGGUCUCCAAACUUGUACCGGUACAAGAAACCGGUUACCGUACAAGGAGGCCGAAACAGGCAGAUGAGUUGCAGAUUUGGAAAAAAACCAGAGGGACUUGGAGGUAUUGUUUAAAGCAUGUGAUGAAGGGUUAUAGGAAGAGAGUAAUUCCCCUUCUUCUUUCCCACUCCACAGCUCCCUCUCUCUAUCUGGCUCGUGCAAACCGGAGAAGAGAAAGAAGAAGAAAAUAAGAGAAGAAGAAAAGAGAAAGUGAAAGAGAAGAUUGGUGAGACAAGGAGAAGAUUCCUCUCCUCGUCUUCAUUCUGUCAUCUUCUUCCUCAUUUGGAGCUCUAGGAGGUAAGCUUCCAAAACCCUUCUCAUGGUAGAUUUUCGUUUAGAAUGGGUUUUGAAACCCUAGAUUUUGAUUUUGUUCUACCUACAAGCUUUUAGGAACUUCGUAGAGGGCAAGAAACACCAUGAAAUCCAUUGUUGUCUUUCAGAGAGCUCUAAUUGGGAUUUCUAGGGUUUGCUUUAAACACCCUUAGAAAAUGGUGUCGAAUGUCCUAUUUGAGUCCUAGAUGAUAAAACAAGCUCUCUUUGCUAAUUUUUAUAGAUCAAUCCAAGAAGAUUGAAAUAUUGUAUAUUAGGGCAUCCCCAAAGAGAUUUGCUAUAUAGGUUUGAUCUAUUUUAUCCGCUUGGAAAACUAAUUGGGGACCUAAUUGAACCCGUUAAACGCUCUGUUCGACAAUACGACGAGUGUAGCGAGAAAGUUAUUGACGAAAUCGGCGUUUUUGGUACAGAUGGAGGCACGCGAAUAAAGCCUAAAUCGUGAAUUGGAACCGAAAGCAUCUUGGAGUCAAGGAAUAAAACUCCGGGAAAAAGACGGAUCGCGGGUUCGGACGGUCGUUCGCUAAAGUCGGCAAGAUACGGCCCAAACGGUGCCGAGCAGGACGCGGGGGAGGCCGGCAAUGUCGACAAGCAAUCGGAACGCGAAUCAAGGAGGUCGUGUUACCGAAAGCGACUAGUCGCCCUUUAUGUCUAGCAAGUGUAAUCUCACGUGAUGGCAUGAUGUUAAAGUAAAUUGCAUAUGAGCCAUGAAAUAAAAAUGAAGCAAAGUAAAAUCUGGAUGCAUGAUGAUAAUAAAUGCAUAGUGUAAAAAUUGCAUUGUUAAAUAAUGCAUGCAUUUAGAGCAUACUAGGUAAAUUCGUUAUUAAGUAGGAGACAUGAUUAACUAUAAGAUGCAAAUGCAAAUGGGAAAGCAUGCUAAAGUAAGUUAAUGCUAGAUUACGUAAAAAGAAUGCAUGUACUAAUUAUGCAUAGAUGGAAAUGCUAAGUAGAGAGCAUAAUGAGCAUAGCAUGUAUAUAAUGCUAGUUAAAGUAGAGAAUGCAAAGUAGCAUCAUGAGAGCUAAGUAAGUGACAUGAUAACUCUAGUGUAAAUAGAGUUGAUUGGACAACUAGGUUGUCAGAUAGAUCGAGUGGCAUCUAACCUAGUGUUAAAGAACAUAGGUUGAUUAGUAAACCUAGAGUCGAACAAUUAGGUGUGUGGCAUUUGACCUAGUGUUAGUAAACCUAGGUCGAACUAGUAAACCUAGAAGUGGACAUCUAGGCGAAGAUGACAAGAACCUAGCAAGUGUAUCUAGGUUAAGUGAUGUGGACAUAGAACCUAGAGUAUGGGAACCUAGGUUGAUGAGUAUAGUAGUAUAACCACUAGGACGAGCUAGGUCGACAGUAUAAGGUUGGCUAUGAACCCUCGACCUGUGGUAAGUGGAUUCCGGAAUCCCAGGACUUAUGAUGUCCCUGGUACAGGCUACGGCGUUCGUGCGACGACUUCGCCGCCGAGCUUGGUACCGUGGGUAGAUUGGGGGCGAUCACAUGGAGAUCACCGCCCGGGGCUUGAACCAUUGUCGUGGCGUUUGUGCGACGAUUUCGCCGCCGGAUGGUUAAGCCAUUUGAGGAUCAGACCGCCAGAGUAGACUGAAUCCAUGCUGGGUAAGUACGAUGCAGGUGCCUCCAGGUCACUGAGUCUGACAUGAUCGUUGUUGGGUGUGGUGCGACCCGUUCGCCCCCAGACGGUAUGUCAUGUCUCGAGCUCACGCUGGGUAAGUGCAACGCGAUCGCCACCGAUGGUCAAGUCUUGCGACUCGAGCCGUGUUCAGCGUGUGCGACGAUUUCGCCGCUAGGAGGCUGAGUCAGAGAGAGUGCGGUAGGCUGUUGAGCAGCCAGUGCGCGGACUAUCCGCAGAUGAUUGACUCGAAGCCGAGUCGGGUGGUUAGCUAUGAUAGGAUAGAGGAACCCUUAUGAGCUAGAGAUAGAGGUUUGAGCUAAGUAAAUAGAAACCUUAGAAGCUAGUGGUUGGUGUUGUGAUCCUAAGGUAAUAGAAAUCUUAGAGUAAAAUUAUGAGCUAAAGUAGCCAAGUAAAAGUAGAAUUCAAAUGAUCUACUAGUUGUUGCAUGAUUUUCGUAUCGCAUAUUGUGAGGCAUGGCAUGUAUUUCAAUUGAAUAUAUAUAACUGUUGUAUAUUGUUGAGCUAACAUGUUGCAGUGCCUCCUCGGACCUAUCGGUCGAGCUUUUCCCUUGGGUGGCCGUUCCCACUGGGAAUCAUGGAGUUGGUUCUCACCCCACGUUGUUUUGGGGUUUUCAGGUCGUUCGUGUGCGGCGCGGCGGCGCGAGGCAAGGGCGUAGCUCAGUAGAUAGCGCCCCACCACAGAGACCGAGGUAGCAGUACCCUGAGACAGUCUAGCUUAGGGGCCUAGAAGACAAGAAUAGAAAAUGUAUCAAACUUGUAAACUCUGAUGUAAUAAUAAGAUUGUAAUUUGGAAGUAAAAAUGUAAACUGAACUGUGAUGUAAAGAGUGGGUGUAAAAAUGAAUGCUUGUAAUAGCAAGUAGAUUAUGUAUUUGAUAUUUCCUUAUGCAAUCUGGAUUGAUAUCCGUUCCUUGUUGGAACAUUCGUUGAUUGUUUGGAUUGCGACGCCUUGGACGUACUGGGGAGACUCUGUCCGCGUACAGGGGAAUUCCCGGUCCGUUCGGCGGUCUGUCGUCGGCGCCGCGACCCGGUCCAAAUAGGCGGUUGGUCGCGGGGCGUGACAUAUAUAUAUAUAUAUAUAGAAUUGAGCUCCUAUGCUUUUAAAAGUACCAAGUCAUUAGUGCUUGUAAGUUUUCGACCCUUGGAUUAAGGGAUGUGCGAUUAAGAUGAUGUGGGCCCCCUAGGGUUGAGUGGGUGGAUGGUUGGUUGAAUAGUAUAAUCUAAAAGGUGAAAAUGAUCAAAGGCAUAGAUCUAACGGUAAAAAAUUUAUAAGCACCAAAUGCUUGGUGCUUUUACAAGCACCAUAGCGCCGGACUAUAUAUAUAUAUAUAGAGUCCGGCUACUAUACUCUUAUGAGUAUGAUCGCCCUCGUACUCAUAAGUUGUUUUCGAUGAUAAAGCUUCCGAAUCGACGAUCCACACCAUUAAACGUUAUCUAGAGCAUUUGAAACAUCUAGAAAUCAAAUUUUAUAAUUUUUCGACAUCAUUUACCUUACGAUCAAAGGGUCACAAAAUUGACAAAUUUUAACGGCCGGUAUGGAAUAUUUGCUAGUUUAACGGUGUAAAAAAAUCGAAAUCAGUUGAAUUUUUUAUCAAAAAUUUUUUUCACUACAUAGAUAAAGAUCAAUAACUCCAAUCUUAAAUUGAAAGAUCCGAUCAUCCAUUUUUAAGAAGUCGUUCGAUUUUGACCGUUUAUUUUAUACUCGCUUGAUGAACUUUAUUAUGAUUUCGAAAAAUUAUGAAAUUUAUUUUCUAAAAGUUUCAAAUACUCUAGAUCAUAUUUAACGGAGUGGAUCGUCGAUUCGGAAGCUCCAUCAUUGAAAACAACUUAUGAGUACGAAGUGCUCUAUUCUCAUAAAAGUAUAGUAGCCCUAGCAUAUAUAUUACUAUUAUAUAUACGAGAGAGAGAGAGAGAGAGCUAGUCUUUCUAUACUAUCUAUAGUAACGGCUCCGGUACUAUAUCCCGCGUUUUAUCGAUUUUAGGGGUGUUCAAAUCAACGAUUCCAGCACCGUUAUAAACAUGAUCUAGUAUUUUAAGCUUUUUUAAAAUAAAAUUUUUAUAUUGUUUCGAUAUAGUUUACUUUAUGAUCAACCAUUAUCAAAUUGAUCAAUUUUCAGGUAAUAUGGGAUUUUGUGAGUUUAACGUGGUGUAAGAACGAAUCUAAAUUUCUCAAAUUUUGAUAGCAUACUUUAAAAUAUCUAGAUUUAAGGUUAACAUCUCUUGAUCUUUUCAAUUUCCACAUCCAUUUGACAUAACGAUUAUUUAGCUAGUAACAUUUCAAAAAACUAAAUUUAAUUUUAAAACUUCAAUGAUACCCUGAGCUCAUAAUUAACGAUUUGGAUCAUUAAUUAAACGACCUACAUGCGAAUAACUAAGGCUAUAGUACCGAAGCUCCAGUAACUAUAGAUUAUUAUAGUAAGCCUAAUUCCUUAUAUAUAUAUAGUAUAUUUAUUUUUAUGAUUAAAUUAUAUAAUAUAAUAUAAAUAUAUAUAUAAUAGAGUAGUUCAUUAGUGUGCUAUUAGGAGCACGGAGGCCCUCUAGCUCGCUAAGCCGUUUAUUCAAUAUAAGAGCUUCGAAUCGACAUCGCUUCCGUAGACUGAGUUAAUGGGUAAUUUGAACUAUCCUAGACAAUAAUUUCUAUGAUUUUUCGGCACGUCAUUUCCAUAGCGAUCAAAGGGUCAAAUUUCCCGUAGCGAAUAAAAGUUCAAAAUAAACAAUUUUUCAUGUUGAUGUAUACCGUUCUAAUUUAACAUGUAGAAAUAUUCAAAUUAGAUGAAAUUUUGAUAGAAAAUUCUUUAUAUAUGCUAUUUACACAAAUUAUAUGUUGUAUCGAAAAUUUUAAUGCUAUAUGUACUACUUUUUGGAUAUAUUUAUUUUCAUGCCGUUGAAUUUUGCACCUUCAAUCGUAGUAAAUGAUAUCAAAAAGUUCACAAAAUUUAUUUAUCUAUAAUACUUCAAAUAGCCUAAUCAAGUCUAACGAGCCGAUGUCGUCGAUUGGAAGCUCCACAUUCGAAAACGCUAUAGGUAAGCACGGAGGCCUCCGUACCCUAAUAGCACCAAAGACCUACUCUAUAUAUAUAUCUAGAGGAUAUAUAUAUAUUAUAUAUAUAUUUAUUGAGCGAAACAUACUCCUAAAAGCAACAAGAGGUGUCGCUUUUGAAUUUUUAACCUUUGGAUGGAGAAUUAUGUAAAGGUUGGAUAUGGGGCUAGGUUGUAGAGGUUGGUUGGUAGGUGAGUCAUAGUAUUUUGAUCCAAGGGUUAUGUAGUUAAAAUAAGAUCCAGUUAGAAACCUAGAAUGCACCAUGGGGUGAUACUUCCUCAGAGUAUUCCUAGCCAAUUAUAUAUAUUAUAUAUUAUUAUUAUAUAGAUAUAUCUAUAUUGAUCCUCCAUAUUUGUCAUUUGUAUUUUAAGUAGCUUAAAGACAGUUUUCACUUUUAGGUUCCGGUGAAUUGAUUUUUCGUUACAAUUUUCAAUGUAUAGCUUCUAGCUUGGGCGAAGCUGCCAUUAAGAUAAGCACCAAAAUCCCGUUAGUUUUUUUAUCAUAUAAUUUAGGAAAAUAUAUGAUUGUGUGAAAAUUUUAUUUUGUACAUUACAAAAUUAAGGAUUAAGCGUAUAUCACACAUUUCUAAAAAUGGUGUUAGUUUUAUUGAUUGGAUUCUUUUAGCUUAAGAAUUUGAGAUUUGAUAAUAUGUUCUAUAAUUAGUGACCGUUUUAAGUGUUUUAAAUUACAUUUCUGCUUUGUAUUCUGCAUGUUAAUGGUUGCCAUUCGACAUUUAAGAUAGAAGAAGCCCCAUCAAAUAAGAUAUUUCUUUCGACCAUCUUUUCGAUGCUAUUACGAGAUAUAUAGGACCGCGCUACUUACCAAGCAACAGUGUAUGAGAAACAAAGAGAGAAGCUAUCGUCGUCUCUAUAAAUUAUCGCAUUUGGUGCUGCGCCUAUACUACAUCAAUCUGUAUUUGCGCUUAUCGAGCUCUCUCUGUUCUGUUUGACACCUUCGAGGUUUUUGUUCUGUUUUGCGCCUUCAUGUGUUCUGAUCUCGCCACACGAAUCACACAAUAUAGUUAGUUGCCCUGAGACUUAAUAUAUUUUCUUUCGUUAUUUGCUGAAGAGAAACACCUUGUAAAUUUAUAGUUCAUCUGACUGAAUUUUAAGUUUUGCAUAAUCUUAUUUCUGAAUUUUGCAAUAAAAUACCAGUGCCGUCUUAAAGUAAUUUUUGUAUUUAUUUUAUUGUAUUUAUUGUAUUGCUAAUCAACUAAUAUGGUUUAUGGUUGUUACCUAAGUAUAGAUCUGUGAUUUGGUCCGGGCGGCUCAAUUGAAGUGAACAUUAAAUAGUUAGUGUUUGAUUUAGCGCCCUUUUUGUUUUUUAUCUUCGUAAUUUUUUUGGAUGGAAAUCUUUUGGACUACGUAAAUGAUCAUUUUUACUGCUUUUGUAUCAUUAUUGCUUCGUAUCUCCACUUUUGUUAAAUUAAGUAUUCAGUUGGAACCGGAAUUUCGUCUACAAAUUUUCGUAGCAAACACUAUUUUAUUAUCUGAGAUUCUGAUUCGUUGAACUUCAAUUGCUCAGUCUUCAUUUUUGAUUCUUUUGAUCUAGUGAUAAAUUUGUACAUCAUAUUUUUGCUUGUCUGUCACUGGUUUGUAACCUUGCAAAUAUUUGCUAAUUUAGUAGUAUGCGCAUCUGUUAGUUCGCCUCCGAUUUGGCGUGACAUAUUCAGUUGUUUUAAUCUCUCUUUGAGUUAUCAACAUGGCUUAUUAUUGCUAACAACAUAUGCUGAUGUGAGAUGAAUGAAAGAUGUGUGCAAACUGAGAAGAUUAUAAUAAAAAAAAAGCAAUAUAAAAGACAAAUAAGUGCAUAUAAAAACAGUAAAUAUGAAAAAAAUAUAAAAAUAUAAUUCAUUUCAGAAAUGGCACUGUGGAUAUCCUGAAACUUAACAAAGAAAGAAAGUUCAUUACCUUGUAUCCACUAAGGAACUAUCUUAAUGGGCCCAUCGUGAUUCGUUCAAAAUAGGGAACUACUUAGUAAACUUUGGAUAUCAAAUGAAAUUUGCAAACAUGUAAUUCGAGUGAGCAUUCAUAACUGCAAACAUUCAAUGAAACACAACGGUGAUGUAUUUGUAUCUAGAUUCUAAACCCCUAUAUCAUACAGCAAUGUAUAUAUUCAAACAUUUUAAAAAGUGAAACAACUUUCCAAUACGCUACCAUAUUUGAUCAAUUCAAUCGAAAACAUGUGAGAUUUGCAAGCAUAGUUCAUAUUCCAUAAUGGGAAUUGCAAGCCAUAGUUUGCAAUCACUCCAUAAUGAUGAAUUUUACAAACUAACACGUGAAGAGAAUGAGACAAUAAUUUUAGAUAGAAGGCAGUACCGCAUGGGCGCUUACGAUAUUUAUGAUUCUGCAUCGAAUAACCAAAUUGGCUACUUAAUAAGUCCUCUAACAAACAUUACUGAUUCCUGCGCCCUUUCUUCAAAGUUUGCUCUUGUUCAACUUAAUACCUUCCUUUAAGUUUAAUUUAUAAUGGUUCUCUGGUGCUGGAAAGAUCAGAUUUCGCAGCCUUGUUUGUCACGAUCCUCAACUUUAAAGAAUGCGGAAUGAUAAAGAAAAAUCUUAUAAACGGAAAAAGAGUAUAUAAUUUGAGAAAAGUUUGGCAUAAUAAACUAAGAGAAAUAUACAAAAGAGAAAAAGCAAUCAGUAGAAUAACACAAUUCACUCACUCUAUUUGUAGCCACUCACAAAUUAAAUUAACUGAUCAUGUGCGCUGCCAAGGGAGACAGUAAAAGCAUAUUGAGUCGCAUAAAAUAAAGCUAACUCCGACGAAGCGCCGGGCUCUCAGGACAAGGAAUGAAGAGAGGACGACGUGGCACGAUUGAAGUGCGCUCUUUCGGCGAAGCGGAUGUCGCGAGGGAGGCGCCGCUCGCCACUCGUGUGAAAGCAGCGUGGCGAAUUCGACCUGAUCCGGGACGAUCUUCUACAUAAAUCCAAUGCUCAAAAGAAUCGCACGAGACCUAAUUAGAAGUCCGACAAACGAAAUCCGAGUCUCACGAGCAUUGCUGCGUGUAAUGUGCUGCGCUGAAAUACUUGGUGCGUCUGUUGUUGCUGAGUGAAUCCGACCGAGCGCCAACAACGAUUGCGGUGCGGCAGGCGGAGGGAGACAUUGAGGCGGUCGGAGCGCGUUGCAACGUCAAAUCCUCACUCGAACAAGCAGCUCGGAGAAUCAGCGAAGGAUUGGGAUCGCCGAGCCCAAAUGAAGAGAUCGGAAAGAUAAGAGGAGAGCAGGGAGGGGUACCGAUUUCGAGGAUUUUUGAAAUAAAAAGGGAAGUUUUUAAUAACAAAUUUGUAGAACACGGUUCAUUCACGUGAUAGAGACUGAAAUAAUUGUUAUAUUUAAACUAAAAAAAAGGGAAAACUUCAAACACCCUCUGAUGUUUCGCAUUUUUGUUAUUUAAUUUCUCCCGUGGUUUUGUGUAACAAGUCUAGUUUACCCUCACCCCCACACCAUCGCUUUCCCUUCCGUCCCACCACUUUGUCCACACCUCACACACUCCAAAGUCAACACCUGACGACUGGUUUCACCAAUCAUCGCACACCAAGACUACAAACAUACUAAAACUCUCAUAUUUAUUUUGUAUCAAUUCUCACUACCACCAUCACCACCAACAACCAACUGCAACUACCCAACAUUUAGUUAUUUGAGUCCACCACACCAACCAGCCUUAGUCACCUCACAAUGGUUUCUACAACAAAACAAGAAUACACAACACACACAACUUCUUCCCAUUACUAAACUCAUAAAAAUGAUAAAAGGUAAACAAAUACACAAGAGGAAUACUGGAAGUAUAUAAGCUAGAACUAAUUAACAAACGGUACUUACUUGAUACACUUAAACUAUAGAGUACUAAAGUGAAAAGUAUAAUACAUUGUGUACUAUUUGAUACACCUUUUAAACAAUAGGAACUAAAUGAAAAAAUGAAACCACAAGGAGGGCUAUUGAAGUUUUCCAAAAAAAAUUUAUCGGAAUAGUAUUCAAACAUAUGAUGUUGGUUGGUUGGUUGUUGGUUUUCCCUCAUGACGGUGAACAAGUUCAGGAAACAGUUUGCCUAACACGUUUGAUUCCAUAAGAGCUUUCUAUAUUCCUUUUUUCAUUUUAUCAGUGCGUCCAUUUAAAAUCGACGAACGAAUUCUAUUUACGGGCACACUUGCGAGUUGUGAUCGUUGCGUAAUUACUGAAGUUUUAUUUGUUGCAUGUUGCGUUUGGCAAUAUUUUAUCCAUUCAAUACCAAAGCAUUUAAUUUAUUUUUCAAAAAUAAGUAAAAGAUCGAAACAUUAAAUCAUACUAAGAUAGCUAACUAAUGGGCCUAGAGCUUUAAAAUAGAAAACUGUUAAAAUGACGUUAUUAAAAAAUAUAGACCCAGCUAGCUGAAAGAGAAUAUCUUUCUCACUCUACGAGCAUCAGAUUCCGAUUUCUCUUUAAUAAAAGCUUUGCAGGGUCAAGAAACACUGGCGGGAUUGACAGACCUGCAAAUGAAAAGUUAAUGCUAGCUCACGCUUUAUACCAAAUCGCAAGGCAUACCGCACAAACGGGCUCACUUUAUACGCACUUGCUUCCUCCAUAAAACGAUUCUAUUGUGAAAAAAAUUCAAAUUUUGAAAUGUUGAAGGCCAAUAAAAAGUUCAUGUGCAUGUCGUGCACGUCAGCCUAAUCUUUAGAAGCCAUGAUUAAAAGCGUAUUUUGAUACCACCGAAAGUAAUAAAGAAUAAUAGUAUAUACUCGCAAGACGUAACUAGCAAGCCGUUAGAGAUUGUCUUUUGGAUUGAGCUCGUUGGCUCUGCAAAAAUAGGAAUGUAACGAGAAAUGUAACAAACUGAAUCAGUAGCGACUAAUAAAAAGACAAAUAACAUCCAAAGAAAGGCUUUAUUCCCCUCGAGAUACAGAAAACUACUUCUUAUUCCUCUAUAUUUUUUGCAUUUUUAGGAAGAUUAUUGUCAAUCUUUUCCUUUUCCGCAUCUACCUGCUUCUAGAAGAGUUCUAAGGGUAAAUUUUCAGAAUCUGUAUCCCAAAGGCACAGCUUCUUUUGUACAAUUUUCAGACAUAAUUUUAAUAUAAAAGGCAUUUCGACCUUCAGCACUCCAAACUAACUGUCAUUUCAAUUCAUUCGCUUAACAUUCAGCAGAACCCUUCUAUAGUAUAAUGUUUCGAACUCCGGCUUGAUCCUGAUCCCUCAUCAGCCGAAUAGCUCCGGUUCCGUCCGACGGACGCAAACUUUCGAGGUCAUCAUUGAAGCCGGAUUUAAUGUCCUACACCGUUUUCCUAGGAAGACUUUGAAUAGGAACAAGGUCUUGAGAAUUCUGUCAUAGCAAUUUUUGAGAUUCCAUUGGGACCGCAUUGAGGUAAAUUAAUUCGUACAGAGUAAUGCUGACGAUAAAGUCGCCAUGAUUUGCAUAUACAGGGUUCGUCUCCACGAAUUCUGAAAACAGACCAAAGCCAGUAAAUCGAUAAUCACGACGCCUACCCCCAAAAGCAAUCCUAACCAUCGAAUAGGCGAGCAUGUCCAAUCCUGAAAGGCGAAGAGCCAAGUUUGGCUCAGCGUCAGUGACUAGAUGAGCGGUCCUACAAUAUAUGGACCAAAGUGUAAUGUAAACCGAAUUUGAAUAUAAGAGUAAAUAUAAAUAAAAAUAGAUGAGAUACUAUUUUUAUUGGAUUAGAGAAGUAAAAUAUAAGUCGGGAAACGACUUUUCUGAAACUCGAAUGAACACAAAGAUUUAGAAUCUUGUGAAAACGCUGAAUAUUAUUAAGGCAAAAAUGCACAAUAGUCAAAAAUAUUAAAACUUUGGAUAUUUUUGGGAUAUUUUUAUAACAGGUUAAAGUUUCAUGUCAAUCCGACACCACUGAAAGUAAAAAAGAAAAUUCGACUUUAUCUGUCUAAAUUACAGUUCGUAAGCCUUUCGAUGACAAAUAGGUUCCAAACUGAAAAAUAAAAAUACAUCCCGUUUAUUUUGGCAAAACAAAGUCUACCUGUCAAAUUUGAGCGAAAACGAACAUUCAAAGCCGGGCGAAAAGUAUGUACAGCGAGCUGCUCUAAACUGCUAAUUGAAAUUAUGUAUAAAAGGGUUUUUUUUCCCCUUUUCUCCCCUUCCUCCCACAAGCCACCACUCACACCUACCGUAUCACACGUAUAAGAGGAAGACAAACCCCCUUCUCUCUCUAUAACUCUCCUCCUCUCUUAGUUCUCUCACCAAAGUUGAUUAAGAGGACGAUAAUUGAAGAUGAAGUCAGGAGUCUCUCCAAUGUGAAGGUGCAACUGCCAAUGGUGAUAUAGCUUAAUGGCAUCUGGUGCCUAGGUGAGAUCUCAUAUUUAGCUAGAUUUCCAUUAAAUCUUUAUGUAUAAAUUCUAGUACCCUAAUUGAAUGUUACAGUUUCCAUCCAUUUAAUUGGGUUAAUUGUAGAAUAGUUCAUCUACGAUUUGAAUAAGUUUGGAAAUAGAGGUUUGAUCUGAUAACCCUAUUUGUUUCUAAUAAGUAGAAUUGAGCAUUGAAGACCCUAGUUGGCGAAUUUGGUUGUCGUGCCGAUUUCGAUUUGAGCCAAACCGGGUCACUGUGCCGCGAAAACCAUCGCAAAGUGACUACAAGCAAUCGAAAGCAUUAUUAAGGUUGUGCCUACCGGAAAGCGAUAGAUCUUCCCAAAGUGUGUAUGCCAUUAUGAAUGCUUGAAGAUAUUAAUUACAUUGAAAAAGCAUGAACAGAUCUAAAAUACAUGAGUUAGUUGCCUAAAUAACCGUGAGCUAGAUACUAAGAGAUUAAAUAUAUAAUGAAUGCAUAAACAAUAUUUAAAAAAAUGCAUAGCAGAUGCUAAGUAACAUUAACAUAAUUAUAAAUACAAGCCUGAUAGAGAUGCUAAUAAAAAUUCAUAUGAUAUAUCUAGUAAAAUCAUGAGGUAUAAUUGUUACCCUUGAAUGGAUAAAGACUCGCAUGAGUAAGAUGAGAUAUGUGCUAGAUAGAAUGUGAACAAUCGAUAAACUCUAUAAGUAAAGAACCUCGCAAGUAAGCUUGUAACUAAAGCAUCACUAAUUAAAUAAUAAGACACAAAGGCAAUAAAACCUAGUGUAUUAACAUAGGUAUUCAUGAGUGACAUUAAAGAAUUCCUAGGUGUGGACAACUAGAAAAAAACACGAUGCAAUUAAACCAUUAUUAAAUAUAGUUGAAAUGAAACUAGAGCAAGUAACCUAGUUAAACUACCGACAUUUAACUAAGCAAGUAUAACCUAGGUUUAAUGGACAUGAGUGACAUCGAACAAGUCAAUGACCUAGGUAUAAGAUGACCCAGUGCUAAUGAACCUAGCAUGGUUAGUGCAUGAACCUAAAGUUUAAACUAGGUUGAAUAAGCUUGACCUAAGAUAUCGACACUAUAGUUAAUACCAACCCUAAGAUAUAAUUGAUUCACGGAUCCCUAGAAGAAGGCUCUAGUGCACGAAUAAGACUUGCGACGAGCGCAAGGAAAUCAAGACUGUGGGUAUGUUGGUUCUCCUCGCCCGACAGUGAUUCAAACGUAGUGAGUCUCCUCACCCGGUAUGUGAAAUGCAAAUGAAACAUCAAUCGGUACGUGUUCUCCUCGCCGGCCUUCCUCAGUGAUCAACUGGAUGGUUAUCCCUCGCGUACCAAGAAUAGGUACGCUUAUCUUGGUUCUCCCACCGUAGUCCAUAAGCCACUAUUAAUCGGCGUUCGAUGGUUAUCCUCACACUUAUAGACCUAUAAGUUAAGAUUAAGCUGAGGUGCAAUGAGACUUCCUCUCCUCGAAACUAUAGAGCGCCCGGACAUCCGCGGAUUAACUCAAGACCUAUCGAGGCAUAGUUGCUAAGGUGAAGUGACUUCCAAAGUAGAUAUAAGAAAAAGAAGCUAAUUCUAAAAAUCGAAGUAUAAAAUGCAAAGUCAAGAAUGCUAAAGAAUCAAAAAGCUAAGCUAAAAGAAUGCUACGUUAAAGAACUUAGUGUAAAAAGGCUAAUUAUAAGAAUUAAAUACGAGAGUAAUCAACUUUAAUCACUUCAUGAUUCCUGAUUUCAUAUGCAUAUUUGUUGAGCAGGAAUACUGAUAAAUGUUAUUUAAAUAUAUAUACACGCCUUCGAACCCCUAUUGGUUCAGAUUUGCACAGCCCUGACAGAUCGCGAACGACAACGUUUUUCACUGUACGUCUAGCGUAAAUCAAAUACAAUUCACAAGUGUUCCACCAAACAGAAAUCAACAUACAUAUUGCAAUAUGGAAAUGUACACAACAUAAACACAAUCCUAUGUUAUCGUCAGCUAUUCACAUUGGAUAAUUUGCUUACAUCACAAUCUCACAACUUUCUCCAACAUACAAUCUGAGUUUAUUAACAUUUGCUACAUCUGUAUCUUCAUUCCCUCUACCCCUAGUUAUACCACUCGGUACCACUAUCCUCUGAUCUAGUAGCGGCCUAUCAUACACUACGCCCUUGCCUUCACGCCGCUGCGCCGCUCACAGUGAAAUCCAACACCAAACAACGUGGUGUGAGAACCAACUCCAGUCCCAGUGAACGGCCACCAAGAAAAGCUCGUACCAAUAGUUCAAGGAGCCUGGCAACAAUUAAUCACAAUACAUUAAACAAUCUAUAUGCGAUAUUGAACUAAAUCAUGCCCGAAAAUGCGAUAUGCCAUACUGAACUAUCAAUGACAUUAAUGAUUCUAACUUCAUAUUAAUAUAAACCAUUUUUUACUUGUAGCCGUCUUACUAUAUAUUUCUAUCAUUAAGCUUUCUCUAGUCUUUACUUGCACAUAACCCUCAUAUGCGAUCUUUCCUAAGGUCUCAUCACCUUAGACCUCUAUGCCACUCGACCGUCUGAGUCCAAUCCCUCGCGGAUAGUUCGCACACAAUGCUGCUCCCACAUCUCCUCGUACUCGAUACUCGGCACCCGGCGCGAAAUCGCGCAUCACCCAGCUCGGCUCAAGUCACCUGGGUUGAUCCACAAACUGCUCAAACCAUUCCGCAGCGAAAUCUCGCACACGCCACAAAUGUCUUACCCCGAGCGCGAAAUCGCGCCACAAUUCUGAUCGUUCACCCACACUUGUGUUCACAAUCCGGGAUUCCAAUCCAUUUCACGUAUCAAGGUUUGAGUUCUUAACCUAUGGAAUUGACCUAUUAGUCCAACUUUACUCAACCUAAUUAAUACUUUAGUUCAAUUGCUUUAUACUCUUAAGCCUAAGUUUCUAGCACUAGGUCCAUACUAUUAACUCUAAUUCCCAUGACUUAGUUCUUACCUUACUCACAACCUAUAUUCUCAUAACAUUAGGUUAAUGGCUUCUCGUUACCUAUUUCAUUACAUAGUUCUUUACCCUACUUUUCUACCUAGUUCAUAGACUUUUAAGUCAAUCACUCGAUCUAUAUGUAUACAUAUGUCCUUUACUCCUAGGUUCACGACUCUAGGUUCAAUGCCACUCGAUCUAUAUGUAUACAUAUGUCCUUUACUUAGCAUUCUUACAUUAGCAUCUCUACGCAUGCAACAUGUCUAACAUAUGUCAUUUAUGCAUUACUUAACAUUCUUACAUUAUGACCAUAUGCAUUAUUUACACUAUGUCAUUAUGCAUCAUUUGGUAGCCUAAUUUAGCAUUCAUCUCAUGCAUACACAUGCUCUAUCAAUAGCUACCAUUACAUGCAUCAAUGAUAAACAUUUAACUUAGACAUACAGGCGACCUAGUCGCUUUGGUAAACACAACCCACCUGUAUCGCGUUCCGAUUGCUUGUCGACACUUGCAAUCGGCCUCCCGCGGCGCCCGUAUCCGGCACGGCCCAAUAUUGCAACUGCGUCACAACCGUGCUCCGCUUCGCAGCCCCGAAAAUUAUAGGUCUUCGGUUAUGUGCCCCGGCGCUCCAAUCCAUUUCCACGAUUUUACGACAUCGCCUCGGCCCUCCAGGCGGAAACGAAGCUAAAUCAUCAGUUUCUUCAAUAUCUUUGUAACGGCUCGACGGAUUGCCAAACGGACUUCGCCAACAUGUUUCGUUACCUACCAAUUUGGUUUAUGAAGGGUUAAAUGAGAUCAAACCCUUAUAUUUACAAAAAUCCCAUUUCGGACCCUAGAUUUGCAACUAUUGCAAAAUACACCAUUAGAGCUUUGGAUUCAAGCUUCAAUAAACUCCUUAGCAUACUAGGGUUUCAAUUAAAUCCAUUCUAGAGAUCAAAAUCCAUAAUCUAGAAGGUUACUAUUAAAGCCCUAGAAGCUUACCUCUCUAGGUUUGCUCCAAGGUGAGGAAGAAGAUGAUGGAGGGGAAGCUCUCCACUUGCUCCACCUUCUUUUCCCUUUCUUCUUCUUCUUUCUCUUCUUCUUCUUCUCUUCUCCUUUCCUUUCUAGAGAGAGAGAGGGAGAGUUUUGCGGUGAUAGAGAGUUUUGGGGUGAGGGAAAGAGAGAAAGAGAGGUUCUAACCCUCUCUAUACACUUAACCCAUGCAACAAUUGCACAUAAGCCCCUCAACAAUGCCUCUAUUGCAACAGCCCGAACUGGGCAUUUUCGGGUCUCUGGGACCGGUCCCAGGCAGUGAGAGACCGGUCCCCGAAGGUCCAGAAAAACAGCAUUCCAGACUUAGCCAAAUUUUCAGCUUUUUCAGCUUUCGGGGUCCGUUUUCACUCCGUUUUCGCUCGUUUGACCUCCGAUUAUUUUCAAAUCGAACCGAGACUCUCCAAACAUGUUUUCGAACAUGUUUUCAUCAUCUUUUCAUCCACGCUAAUGCCGGAUUUAGCUCACGGCCCAACAUAGCCUUUCGGGUUUCGUUUUCGCGCCUACGCGCACCGAAACGCCCGAAUGCUCCAGAACUUCUCCGAACUUCACCGGGAUCAUUCAAAUGGCUUUCCAACCAAAUGUACACCAUAACGUCAUGACUUUAGAAGUUCGGUAUGUUACAUUCUCCCCUCCUUUAAAAGAGUUUCGUCCGCGAAACUCAAACUGCACCUCAAUUCAGCUCCUCGAGCAAUUGAGAGCACCAAUGCACUUUUCCACUUAGGAAUGGCUUUAUACUCUUUAGAACUAUCCAAGAGGCCCACUACGGAGGGUACAAUACCAAACUCGUACAACUUCGCAAGGUGCAUCUCGCAAAAUGCAUUACGGUCUCCGUCAUUCUUAGUGGUAGUGCAAGUCGAAACUCAACGACUUUACGCGCUCCAACACCAUUCAUAACCUAGCACGCAAGGCCUUUUCUUUACAUUUACCUUCCCCCUCAGGGUAUUCCGAUUCGAUCACCAUCAUUGCUUAAAAGCAAUAUUACCAGUGCAUCGUUUCCUCGCGAGUGUUCCAAUCAUAUCCGGAUCUUUACUCUAUUGAGAGAUGGCCUACUCCGGCGCACAUCACGAAUCUCAAUCUACAAAAGAGCAUUAUCCUCAAGUUUUCCAACCUCUCCAACAUGACCCAGCCUGCCUCGGCAAAAUUCAUACUCGGGGACCGGUCUUGCCCUACCUGGGACCGGUUGCCCCGCGCUGCGCAACCCUCCACCUUGGGGCAACCGGUCUCUCCCUCUUAGGACCGGUCCUCGAGAGCAUGCUCGCGCAGACCACGUUCGGGAACCGGUCCCUCCCGCCAGGGACUGGUCCCCGAGAGCAAAUCUGCCAAGUGCAGAUUCUUGCACCAUUUGCUCUCGUGGACUCCAUUGCAAUGCACUUUUGAUGCAUUUGACUUCUUCGGCUUCUACGAAGCACUCCCACUCGACAAUUAGUCGAUCUUGAGCGAAGUUCAACUCUCGUAUUUAGAGAAUUCACUUCCUUACUCCAACUUUUCCACAGAGUUAUCGGCCAUACCGCUCAUCGGUUUCCAUGGGUGGUCCAUAGACCGCCAAUUCCACGAAGGCGUACCGCCUAAACCUGUUCAAUCACUCGCGCAACACAGACCCAAUCAACAUUCUCGGGUGAAAUUGUCACUUGAAAAUUCACACACACUCCAAUCAGGAGCUAUCGAGACCCCAAUCCGCAUCUAGUCCUUGGGUUGGGUCACUACACACUCUGUGUGUCAUCAAUCACAUAAUCUAUCACGUGGCAUUCCACGUUCCCAGGUCUCAGCUCGGACUACCGCCCUGACCAAACUCUGCCCCACUACUGGGCUGCUGCUCCUCACAGCUAACUGCGCCUGCCCAAUGGGCCCAGGCUCCACAGUCCACAUACGGUCAGGCACGAGUCGUCCCUAAGCAAUACCCGCCGUCGACGUCCUACACGACAUGCUCCAACGAGCUACAAACACCGCUAUCGGCUCCUAAGCACCUAGUGCGAGCCAUCAGCCCUACGAGUGAUCCAUGGCCCGCUUCACACUUAGCAAUGCUAAAGUGCUACUGCCAACACUCUCUCGGCUGAUUCAAUACCGCACACCACGAGUACCUACAUUCGAGCGCUCUACACACCUCUGCUGCAUCCCAACUACGUCAAGCAUUAGGCAACUUUGCCUAAGCGCACUAACGACACAGGCACAACUUACCUACCUCAAUUUGAGGUACUACUAGGCCUCACAUGCCCGUACUCGGCCAUUAACCGGCUAUUUACUCACAGUGAUUCUACUUUCACUGCUCGAUCUAUCGGAACGACAUCCGAAAUUCUCGGAGUACUCGGGUAUCCUCACGUAUCCUAACUCAACUCUCGCAAUCUACUAUCCAUUGCCUUGAGAGUCGCUUCACCCCUUCGCGUUCACCACGAGUCUCACUCCUCGUGCAAGAAUCCUUACUAGCCAUUUGCUAGUACCAGUUGGCUCUCUACCUGCUCUAGUAGGCGCCACACUCUCACCGCAUAAGCAUGCUCGGGUAUCUACCUAUACCCGCCCUAUGGGUCCCUACUAUGUAAUGCAUAAUAAGUAGCACCCGACCAUUCAAUAAAAUGCAUGCUAUGCAUCAACUUAAGACUAUACAAAAGCGUAUGCUUGCUUAAUUAACUCAUACCUGCCAUGACGUCAUCAGCAGCGGCAGGUUCCACAACUCGGGUCGCGUACCCAUGGCCACUUGGCGCUCGCCGCGAACCCUCCGGUUGCACCGUCGUCAAUGGUCGCUCUCCCGACCAUGCCGCAGGUGGCACACCUGCAGGCUGUCCCACAGAGGAAUGGGCCGUCGCCAGCAUCAAGGCCCGGCUAUCACCUUGCGGACACUCGUCCCGCGUAUGGCGCGGCAGCCCACACUUGAAGCACUUGCCCUCACGCUGCUCACACUGCUGGGGGUAAUGAGUGUCAUGCCCCAGAUUACACGUUCCCCGGGCAUGCCGACAAAUCCGUCGUAUACAAAGGAAUUUCCCCUGAUACGAAGCGACAGCUGUACCUGUAAAACAUACAAUACUACAAACAGUAGUAUAGAGCUGCUAGAAGAACUAGUAAAGUAAAAGAAACCGAGUUCCAUAUACAUACACUGAAUCCCAGAGUACAAAACUACUCGCGCUGGCGAGUUAAAAGUCUGUAUGUACAUGAACCCAAACCAAAACAUCUACCUGCAGUAGGGGUGCCUCUAGCUCUGCUCCUCGGGUAGGGCUCUAACUCGCGACGCCCUUGCCUAGAUCCUGAUCAGCAACAGCAGCAGCCGAAGACGAAGGCUCUGCAAAAACGGGGUAACAACUGGGCGUGAGAACUACUGUAGAAACAAGUAGUCCUCAGUGGGUGCCGCCCUCAACAAUCAUCAGUCCACCCACUAAGUCUACAGAAGGUAACAAGGCUAGCAGAAAAAGCUGGAAAGAAAUCUACAGCUACAUAUCGCUACACUAGCAUGAUCUACACUAACCAACUGUAGUAAAAGUUACAACUGACUCAAUUUCACUAGGGACUAUGAACACACCCGUCCCGCCUGUCGGAUCGAACCUGUAACCUACUCCAGGAGUAGCUGGUGGAGAGAACUCUCUAGGGACUGUGAAUACACCCAUCCCGUCUAAUUAGGUGACACCGUAGCUCAAGAGUAACCGGCGGAGAAGACUCUCUAGAGAUUGUGAAUACACCCGUCUCGUCUACUAGACUACACCGUAUCUCAAGAGUAACCGGUGGAGAAAACUCUUUAAAGACUGUGAGUACACCCUUCUCGCCUAAUUAGACUACACCGUAUCUCCAGAGUAGACGGUUCCAGAAAAGGUC